RNAcentral lists this long non-coding RNA (58185 nucleotides) under Brassica napus (rape). RNAcentral describes it as "long non-coding RNA (BNAP_LNC006997)". Lineage: Eukaryota; Viridiplantae; Streptophyta; Magnoliopsida; Brassicales; Brassicaceae. The record is from RNAcentral.
CCCCUUUUAUUACCCACCCUGAUCAAAUUCUAAACACCUUAUUCCUCAUGAACUAGACUCCCCUGACAUCGACAUUACUGGGGGCUGUUGCGUGAUUUAUGUAGUAGUGGUGGUGUGAUGGGUUCCACGGGUACGGUCACGGUCAUGCUCACCACCUGUAUGUUGCUGUCCGUAGUAUUGAGCUCUGUCUUUAAUAUCCUGAGCUUUGGUUCCCAGCUUCAUCCUUGCACUGUCCAACUUAUCUGACCCCUGUGGGUGCUCUCCCGUUGCGUACCUAUUCAAUCACACACACACACACACACGCAUGCAUCCAUCAAUUUACACACACACAUAAAAGUGAACGUCUAUGUUCAAUUAGCCAGAGCUUAUUCAGAUGUUUAUGUAUAUAUGCUUUUAAGUUUUAGUGUCCUCUCAUGGCAUAUCUGAUUAUUGUUAAAUAUUAUCUUUAGUUAAGACCUUACCUUUUGGUAAGGUGCAGAUAUACAUAUAACACAAAUUGAAAAUUUAUAUCUGUGAUAAUUUUUUUGCUUACUUAUAGAUCCAGGAGAAGACGGUUAUAGCUGCAAUGCCAAACCCACCAGAGGAGAGAAAGCCAGUGAUGAGAAGUGCUACGGUGAUGAGAGCCGGCACGAGGAUUGGGCUAAAGAUAACAAGCAGAGGAGUGGCAACAGUCAAAGCAAUGACUGUUCCGACAAGGGUGAGACUGGAGAGGACAAGAAGGGACCCUCCGGCGGUGACUGCGGUAGCAGCUUUAGCAAUCUGCCUAGUCUUGGAGUAGUCUUGGCCCGACGUCUGGUAGUCUGAUCGUCCGUAAGGAUACUGGUCUCGGUCUCGGCCCAAUAUCGGGUACUGGUCACGGCUGGUUAUGUCGUGAUGGGUUCUAGCAGUAUCCGCCAUUAUGAUCUUGUUGAAGAGAGAGAUGAGUUUAUGUUUUGAAGUAGCUAUGAUUGUUGUAAAUUGAUUAGAUAUAUGAAGAGAAGGGAGGGGGAAAGAGAGUCAUGUGUCAAUGGCGUCAUCAUGCAAUAGUAUCCACGUGUUGGUGGCGUCACCAUGCAGACGCUGCAGGUGUAAACUAGAGGGGUCUACUUGAGGACACGUUUGUGUUUUUGUCUCGUUCCUGUGAAUGUGGCGUUGGCAAUGAACCGAACGUACACUUUAUGAAAACGGACCAUUGGGCUGAUUAUUAUGGUGGUUUCAGGGCUUUCAAGGCCUUUCCAUGAGUUUCUUCUUAACAACAAAAAGUCAAAUAUCGAACGUAAACCCAAGACUAUUUUUGAGCAUACCAUAAAGUUACAUAUUACAUUGAUUACAAUGACAAGGAAGAACUAUAUCAAGAUACCAUAUCAAGAUUCACAGCAACGAGAGCUUGAAGAAGAUGAGAUGGAAGAAAAUUUGUUAUGAAUGUUGAAAUUUCUCAUUAAUUAAAACUGUACAGUAUGUUCAGUAUAUAUACUCUAAUACAAUCUCGCUAACCUAAGCUUUAUAUGUACACCACUUAUACACCCAUGUUGCUAACCUACACCAGUGAGCUGAUACACCUUUGAUAGAACAUGGCCUGAAGAAUAAUCAGCAUAUGAAUAAUAAUAAUAUUAUAAUAGUGACCUUUUCCAACUCUACAAUGGAACAGCUUCAGUGAGUUGUCUCAUCCAAUCGUAACUUCCAGAAAAAGAAAUGUAACCAACGGUCUAAUAUAGCAAAAGUAAAUGCUCUGAAACCAAGAAAGGUCAGAAGGAAAUUAAAAAAAAAAGAGUCUACUCAGUCUAGGAAGCCUGAGCCGUAGGUUUCUUCUGAACAAGAUCCUCAAUCAAAUCAGCUGCUUCUUGAAUCGUCGUAAUGUUCUGAGCUUCAGUUUCCUCCACACUUAUAUCAAACUUUUCCUCCAAAGCCAUCACUAUCUCCACCUGUAACCAUAUAUUCACAUGACAAUAUUAUUUGAAUAACUAAAUAACUAACAAAAUAAUCGUUGAUAUGAAAGGAGAGAGAGAGUGAGAGAGUAUAAUAACAUACGGUGUCUAGAGAAUCAGCGCCAAGAGCAGAGAACUUUGACUCGGCAGUGAGUGCAGUGUCUGCGGACAAAGCCAAUUGUUCCUUUACAAUGUCACUCACUUUCUGUACCGUCUCUGGUUUUGCCUACACAUAUUACCAUCUAACUUAUUGCAUUUCUCAUAUAGUUCACUUUUUGAGACUCAGACAAAUCUUUUAUACGUACUGCACAACUGAUUUGAAGACGGAUCCUCUUUGAAGACUGGAAACGACCAAAGGAGAUAGAUUGAAAACUCGACGCUUUACGCAACACCUGAUGAUGAUUACAGUAUACAAAGCUAAUUACGUUAUAUUUGAACAUUACUAAGAAAGCAAACAAAAAUGGAAUACGUUGAGCAUACACGUUUUAAAGUCGCAUGAUAUAUUCGUGGUGGUGGAUUGUAUGGGAGCUUUGAAGCUAAGAGAAGUGGUUGAUAGGGAAGCCAUUGAAGGAGGGAGAUUAAGCCAGUACACAGACCUAACGCAACCACCAGUACACGAAGAUGAAUCUUUUUGUUCCAAGGCGGAGGACACGGAUACGGCUCCGUUCCCUGAGCUGAGACGCAAACAAAAGUCUUCUGUUAUGUUAUGUGGCCGAGGUUUGUUAUCGCGGAUCCAGACCUAUCUUCGGAACAUGUUGCUAUGGGUCCCACAUUUUGCAACUAGACCCAAUCCCAAUUAACUAUUUCAAAGACCUAUAUUGGUUUUCGGCCGUAUCUUGUUUUUUUUUAAUAGGUAAACUUCUUAUUAAACAGAAAUUACAAAGUCAUUAUAGAAAUUACAAAAGUUGUGUUUGGUCUUCUUUUCCUCAUCGAGAAUUCUAUUUUUCAAUUGUAUUAUAAAAACCCAAUGAUUUCGUCAAUACUUCAGGAGAGUUGACAAAUGUUCUUUUAGUAAUCAUUUUCUUUUUCGGCGGUAUCUUCUUUAAUAUUUCAUUUUCUAGCUAUAAAUGAUUUAUAAUAAAUCUUUAAUCUCAAUCUGUCAUUUUUAGUAGUUUGUUAAUUAUUUCUUCUAGAAUAAAAACAGAUGAACACAUACAUGACAAGUAACAAGAGUACCUCAAAGAUAAAUAAACGGAAUCAAUAUAAUUUAUUUUUAUGCUUUUCUUCUGAUAAAAUCUAAGUAUACAAGAAAGAUUAAAAGAACUUCAACAGUACGAAUAAGCAAAUAGUAAAAAAAUGUGAAGAAAAUAUUCAGGAACGACGAGCAGCGGAGGCAGUUAAGACUGUAAGAACGAACAAGAGUAGAAAAGAGACGAAGGACAAAGCGAGUGAGAGUGUAGUACGAUUGCAAUAAUUAUGGACAUAACCGCAGAUCGGAAGCCAACCGGCGUGUGUAUUACCAUACUUUCCGAUAUAUCCCUCCGACAUGGCCGCAGAGAAAGCCGAUAACGCCGUCAACGUCAUAAGCUGUAUAACAUUACAUAUCAAACCCCAUCUCAAAACGUUCAUAUAUAUAUAUAUAUAUAUAUAUAUUUUUCAUAUAGAAAAUAAUUACCAAAUCAAAGAAGAAGAGUGCAAAAAUAAAUCCUCCUCUACGGACAGCCAAACAAGCCCAUGCAAGCGUAAACAACGUCACGGCGGAGAUAGCUAUAUAUGCGAAAACCAAAUACCUGUGUAACAUAUCAAAGCAUACUCGAUGUCUUAGUUUAUUGUAACAAUUGGUUUUGGGUCUCCCAUAAUGAUUCGGGUUAAAUGGUUUAAGGUCCAUGUUCUAGGUUUCAAGUGAGAUAUAUGAAUGAGAUAUGAGAAACUCAAUAAUGGAUUUAUUUUACAUAUUCUUCUACGUUAUAGUAGAUGGAUAUUUCGUCUAUAAUAUUUCUCAAUUUUUGCAUCUUUCUACCAGCAUCCGUGUAUUAAUUUCCAAACGUGAUUUGGUGCAAUUUCAUGCGGAUUGAUGAUUUAUCAUUCCAUCAUCUUCACUAAUUAGAUCAGUAAGUGUACCUUGAUAAAAUGAGCAAAAGAGAGUACCUAAAGGCCGAGGAGUCGCUGUAUUUAGCCUCAAAAGCAAUACCAUAAACAGAGGCAACUUCACGGUUAGUGAUCAUGAGCCCCAUGGAGGCCAGUGCAGCGCCAAGGGUUAACACUCUCAUCGACACUUGAACCUUAAGAUUCAUUAGUGUUCUUUUCCCAACACUGUCUCCCAUUAUUACUCAGAUUCAAACUUUACUUUCCUUGUUAAUUGAUGAAAAGGGGACAAAUUAUACAAAUAAGACAAAGAUAUGGUUGUUGUUGUUGUUGUUGUUUGUUUGGUGUGGUGUAAAAUCCCAAUACUCCAAGAAGACAAGAGAAAGAUAAGAGAAAUGGUCUGAAAAAUAAGAGAUAGAGGAAGGGAAUUUAUAGCAAAUUAGCAUGUGGAUAGGAUCACAAAACAAUAUAUUUGAGGACGUUGGAUGAUCGAAUCCUCUGCCUAAACAGAUGGGCACUUUCAGUUUGAAUACAUCAAUUUUGGUCACAAAACUUUGUAUAUUCACGUGAUUGUUUUUCUAGAAAAGAGUUCCACGUGUUUUCUUAUAGUAUUUGGUCUUUAGAAAAGAAUUGGGAUAUAUAAUGAACGUUAUUUCUAUUAAUAACAACGAAGAUCACAAAUUCUCCUAAAUGAACUUAAACAAAAUUAUCUUAUUUUGUCAAACGUAUAGUCUCUAGGCUGGCAAAAAAAAAAAAAUUGUUAUCAUUUACAAAGCAGCUAGUUCGUUCCUUAACAUGCUUAUACAAAACAUACAUUUUUCCGUAAAGAAUAAAAUAAAUCUAUGAUGGUCAGACGUUAUCACGUUGAAUUUUACUCAUCCAUUUUUUAUGUAAAGUUUUAAUUAUUAUUUUACGUAGUAAGUUUUCGGAAAAGAAACAAACUCAACUUUCUGGAAACAAAGUUGAUACCUAGGGGACUUAUCAGAAAUGGUAAGAGCGUAUCAAAGUCAUGUAGUGAUACAUUCCAACCUUAUUAGUUUUUUUUUUUUUUACCAAAAUGUGAAUUUCAUAUAUAAUAUGAGACGAGUUUGUAAUGCUACAAAAGUUUUAGAGCUAAAUUAGGUAAACCUUGACAAAAAAAUAAACAAGGCUAAGCUAACAUCUAAUGAGGUCCCAAGAGGUUACUCAUAACGUAUCCAAUUAGUUUUCUUGUACGUUUUCUUGUACGACGCAAUUACAAUAGCGAAUACAAAUGGUCCAAGGUCGCGUGAUUCAUUAUGAAGUUCGAUACUGUCCUGCAGCAUCAAUUCUUGUUUCAUAGCACGCUACAUGUUGUAAUGGAUUGUUGUAUAGCUAUUAAGUCACUCACUAAAGUAAAGUUCUAUUCGUCGAGCUGUAUUUUAAUGGUAAUUAAUAUAGGGCAACGAAAUAAAGCUAUUUGUUAGCAAAUAAAACAUAGCUCUCUCACAGACUCCAUCCACUCUUUGGUUCUCAAGCGACUUGUUGUUCAUGCAACAAUCUAUAACACUUGGGCAGAACGGAAUAAGUGGCUCCACGACAGGACAUCAUCAACACCUCCACGAUUUACAAGCUCAUUGACCAAAACAUCAGAGACACAAUCUUGGGAAAACAACACAAGAAGAGCUUCAAAACAGUUAUGCUAUCAUGGCUAAGGAAUGUUUACGAAAUAUUCUUCUCAUAUGGGCUUCACUUUGUUUUUAACCUUUUUUUGCCAAAGUCUAUCUCAUCUUGUUCUUCAAUUUUGUAAGAGCAUCCUUAUAGCUAAGAGCAGCAUUAUCUCUAAAACCCACAUUGUGGUUUUUUUAAUUUUUCUUUUGUCUAAUUAAAUUUUUUUUUUAAAGUACACCAAUCGCGGGUUGCCACGUGUAUCGGUGGGGUUCGUGAACAGUGCAAAGAAGCAACAACAAUUGAUCCUUAUCUGAAGCCUUUUGGGACCGGUUUUCAUGUUUUUUGUGAGACCCAAGGGCUAAAAACUCCUUUAAUAUCAUGUGUUGUUGAUGCUCUAAGUAUCUUAUGUAGAGUAUCUGAUUAGUAAAUAAUAGUAAUUUCAGUAUAAGCAAAUUACAUAACUAAAACUAUAGCACUGAAUCAGUAAUAAAAUAACAUGUGGCAAAAAGUAUCUAGAAGGGUUCUAAGGCCAUCAACCGUGGAAAGAGAUCCACCUUGAUUUCUUAAAAAUAAAAGAAAAUAUUUAAAAAAAAGAAAAAUUAUCACAAGAUGACAUGUGUAAUCUGAAAUUUGUUUAUCCAAUUAUAAUAAGACAGGUGUAGAAAUUCUCUCUUUACAAAUGGGCUUCAGCUCUUCUGCGAGGGAUGACCCCCUCUCUCUUUCUUAUUUUUUGUAAUUUUUUUAUUUUUAUAUUCAUGAGAGAUGAAUUGAAAACUCCCCACUGUUGAUGGCCUAAAAACUUUAUUAUAUGAGAAACAAUUUCUAUUAUCUUUCCUACUUUUUCUAUUUUUUCUUUAUUUAAAUUAUCUAGACACUCUGAAAGAUACUGCCGUUGGUGCUACUCUACAGUUUUACAAACCUUUCUCAUUUUAUGUGAAACUCACAUCCUUCGCAAAAAAGUUCUAAUAAGUUUUUGUAUAUCUUUCAUUUUAUCAUUUACAUAAUGCACCAACAUUCGUAAGAUUGUAUAAUAUACUGUAAGUGUGUUAUUUUAAUCUGAGAUGUCUGAAGAAGUAUUCAGAUUCUGAUGUACUGCUUAUGUAUGGGACAUUGAAGCAGAUGCUCUUCUCCUAUACGCUACUCAAUUUUUCUGACAUAUUUUAGACUCUCAGUUAAAUAUAUUUGAAUUCGAAUAUACGAUACAAAAAGAGUGAAAAAGUAAGGACGAGGAGUAAUGGCUGGGAAAGAAUGUUAACCAUCUAAUUAGGAAUCUGCAUGGUUGGAUGGAACCCCUCCCUUUGACCGUAGAAGAACCACAGAUACUUCAUAAAGUAAAAAAUUUCAUUGCUAAUUAUAUACUUAUUUUAAUGCAUAUAUUAUUCAAUGAGUCAAUUAGUCUUUGAAGCUAGUGAGACCAAAAACGAAAGGUGGAAAUAAUAAUCAAGAUUCACAAGUCAAUGCUUUUGAUACGCUUUUUGUUUCAACCAUACGUUUUCUGUUUGCCAUUUGAUAGGUUAUUUGUUGUUUACUGUAUAAUUACUUUUCACAAAGUAACAAAUACAUUAAGUGAUGAAUUGAUACUACGUACAAGCUUAUAAAAUGAAUACUACACUUUGCCACAAAACGAAGAUGAUUGCAUCCACUAAUUUAUAUCAAAUAAUUCCAGUAAUAUCAGCUUAACAAAUUAAAUUUUUGAUCUGAUUUUUUUUUUUUGCUAAAAAUUUGAUGAUAUUUUAUGAUAGAACAAAAUAGAUUAUCUAGUAAUAAACUGAAGAUUGUUGUUGGAUACGACAAUACUUGCAUAGAUGAUUAGAUUAACAUGGAAUCAACCAAGUGGAACAUCAAGAAGCAUGCUGAUGAACAUCAAGAAGCAUUCUGAUGAAUCUUACCUAUACGCACUACUCUUUGUUUUAUACAUUUAAUUUUAGCUUUCUUCUCUCGUCGGUUUACACGGAACACAUAGCAUUAUUAUUUGUUGUUAUGAGAGCUAAUAAACUAAAAUUAGGUACGGACCUAAUUUUGGCUGCCAAAUGAUGAAGUUCUCAGAGACAACAUAAAAUAUGUCACACGUGGCGGAGACCUAAACGUUCAGCUUUCACUUGUACGACGACCGAAAUGAGCCAACAUGGGUUGUACCUCAAUGGAACUUCAGAAUGUAACAUAGGAGUUGAUUAGCUAGUUCGAGUCCUGGUGGAAUAGUAAUUUACAAACGUAUACGUUAUACGUAUGGGUAUUGAAACAAAGAUCUAAUUUAAUUAGCUAGUUCAAGUCCUGGUAGAAUACUGAAAAUUAGGUGAUGUAUACAAAUAUAGUGAUGACUGAUGAAAAAUAACCACCAAGUGUAUUUAUGGAAAACUCAUAGCCGAUCAAUGGUUUAUUUUAUUGGUCAGGCCAAAAGAACAAAUUACCAAUAAGUUUAGCUCAAUUAUUUUAUUUGGUUUAAAAGAAAGAAAGCUCACUUAAAUGACUACUAUAAUAAUAAUGGUUAACCAUGGUUCGGCAUAAAAGUUUGACACAAAUAUAAUACACGCCAAAGAGUGCAUACCACAUAAAAUGAUCGAAUCAUUUUCAUUUUUGAAAACUUUAGAAAUAUACCAUAAAAAAAUGCGAUGUUCUUCUCUCUCGUAUACAGAACGACGACGUCGCAAACAUAUUAGUAUUGUACCCUUGCACAUAACCGUCUCUAUAUAUAGUGUGUGCCAUUGGCCUUGCAGUUAAAUUCAUAUCGAAGAAAAUUCAAUUAGAGCUGUCAAGGGUUAAAGAUCUCCUCUUGUUUCCUUACUCAUUUAUUCGAUAGUCUCAUUCAACUCGAGAGAUCAUUCACAAAACGAUCAAAAUGGCUCUAAACGUAUUGGCAUUUACGUUUGGAAUCAUGGGUAAGUAUAUAAUAAGCUUUCAUCAACAAACAUCAAACUUAUCAUAUACAAUAUAUACAUGUUAAUAUACGUACAUGUCCAUUUUCACUCAUGUUAUCAAUUCUAUAUGCAUUUUUGUAGGCAACAUCAUAUCGUUCAUCGUGUUCUUGGCACCAGUGUAAGCAACAUCGAUCUCAAACUCACUCUUUCUUUUUCGUUUCCUUUGUAUCGAGUCCCUAAAAAUAUAUAUUUUGGAUCUUAUUUUUCAUGUACAUGCAGGCCAACUUUUGUUAGGAUCUGCAAGAAAAAAUCGACAGAAGGCUUUCAAUCACUUCCCUAUGUGUCAGCGCUCUUUAGUGCGAUGCUAUGGAUUUACUACGCUAUGCAAAAAGAUGGAUCAGGCUUCCUCCUGAUUACCAUAAACUCUGUGGGAUGUUUUAUCGAAACCAUCUACAUUGUCCUCUUCAUAACAUAUGCUAACAAGAAAGCAAGAGUACGAGCGUGUGAACCAUAUCAUUCAAUUUGUUAUAUUUGAAAUGCACUUAUAUAAAAAUUGGUUAGCUGAUGAUAUAUAUACAUAAACAACCUGUAGAUAUCAACUUUGAAGGUUCUUGGGCUCUUGAAUUUCUUGGGGUUUGCCGCUAUUAUUCUUGUCUGUGAGUUAUUGACCAAAGGAUUAAACCGUGAGAAAGUCCUUGGAGGGAUUUGCGUCGGAUUUUCCGUUUGCGUCUUCGCAGCUCCUUUGAGCAUCAUGGUAAUGUACUCGCUCCACUACAUACACAUAUAUGUUUGCAAGGAGGCAUGCUAGUGGCUAGCAAGAAUAUAAUAGACUUCAUAAAGAAACUAGUUAAUAGCUCAACAUUUUUGUCUUUUUUUUUUUCUGGUAUUAGAAUAUUUUUAUGUUUACGUAUAUUAUAUAGUUUAACAUGUGAAAAGUAUAAAAUUGAUGCAGAGAGUGGUGAUACGAACAAAGAGUGUGGAGUUUAUGCCCUUCUCUCUAUCAUUGUUUCUUACCCUCAGUGCCAUUACAUGGCUCUUCUACGGUCUUGCUAUUAAAGACUUCUACGUUGCGGUGAGUCUUUUUCUUAUGAUAUUAAAUCUUUUAUAAGCAUAAAAUAAUGGAGCGCAACGUAGUAUCAUGUAUAAUAUAUAUAUGAUUAUGGGUGGUUCAUGUUUAAGGGAAAAGAGAUUCCAUCACCUUUUGCUUUAUGAUUACAAUCAUAUAUUAUAUGAUUGCGUCAGGGAGACCUCGAGUACAAUUAUAUACAUAUUUUUCUUUUAUCUGUCGGAGACUAAUGGGAUGUGUACUGUUCCCAACAAAUGAUUAAUGGGAUUAGUGAUGUGAUUGUAUUUUUGAUUGAAGCUUCCAAAUAUAAUGGGUGCGUUUCUCGGAGCAGUUCAAAUGAUUCUUUACAUCAUAUACAAGUACUACAAAGCUCCAAAAACUAACGACACAGAGAAACCCAAAACGGUGUCGGGUCACUCAAUCGAUAUGGUCAAGCUUGCAUCAACUCCAGCUUCCGGUGAUUUGAAGGCUCCUCCUCAAACUCAUGGUGAUUUAGAGGGUCAGAUUGAAAAGGAAAUGGCAAACCAAAUCCAAACCUAAGUAGUUUUUGUGUUAGUGAUUUUAUCGGUCUUGUACUGUUGAGUCGUGUUUCACUAGCUUGUAUUUGGCGCCUUGUCUUUUUCCUCACCAUAUUAUUUCGAAAUUGUAUUAUCCAAUUCAAAAAGUAUGUUUUAGUUCUUUUAAAAUACUUCUGAUAUUCUCUACUCACAAAUACUUGAAUCCUUCUAGUGACAAAUGAAAAAAAGGAAAAUUAAAUUCUAAGUAAUUUAAGUACUAUUUUUUUCUUUUGAACUCUAGUAAUUUAAGUACUCGAUCAAUCGCAAGUGAAGUUUUUGAAAAAAAAAAUUCAUUUUGAUGUAUAGUUAAAAAAAAAAAAAUUGAUCUUAUUAGCUUUGUUACAAAAAAGAAAAAAAAAGAUUUUAUUAGCCAAAAAUAAAAGGAAGUUAUCGAAUAAGAAAAGAUUUUCGUUACAGCCCAAUCACUAUUUAACAACCCAAACCACAUACUUAUUCAGUGUACUGGUUUUCCUAGACGAAUAUCUACCGUAUCAAUCGUUACGAACCUUGUGCAAAGGAGCCCAGAUUUGACAUAAAUUGGUGUUACAUGUUUUGAUGUUUUCAAAAUUUUCCAAUGCAUCUGAAAUUUCAGAAUAUUUUAAUAGAUUUUGAGAGAAGAAGCAGACAGAAUAAGAAGAAUGACUUAAUCCAAUAACACCACCUCUAAUGUUGGUUUAGUUGUGGUAAAGUGAAGGGAAUACACUAAAAUCCAUCAUAAGUAAAAUCUAAUAAACUACAACCAGUUUUAAAUAACUAGUGAUUUUAUUGUAUUUCGAAGUUCGAAGAUGAAAUCAGAUGUGACAAGGGGGUGUCGUCGUUUCCUAAACGUUGCUCUCGAAGUGUCAAGAUAAAUGAUAAAUGCCAAUGGGAGAAGAAGCAGACAGAAUAAUAAGAAGAAAAAUGAUUUUUCUUAAUCCAAUGUUAUCCUUGUCCUAUCCUCUCUCUCUUUCCAUUUCUCAUUUAUUUUCUCUAGAAAACUAAGUUAAUUCGUAACUCUCCUAGAUAAUUAAAAAUGGCAUGUCGACCAAAAAAAAUCUAAGACCAUUUCUAAUAAUAUACAAUAACUUGUUUUCUAUAUUUCACAAUAAUCAGAGUAAAAAACAAUAUCACUUUAUUAUAAAGUAAUUAUAUUAUAUGAUAAACUAUUGAAGCAAAUUUAAUUUUAUAAUCUUAUAUUUUAUAGUGAACAAUAAAGAAAAUUAUUGUGUAACAUUGGAGAGCUAUAAACUGCAAUACCGGCAAAGCUGAAUCUAAAACGAAACAGUUAAAAUGGAGAUAGGUAAAGUAAAAUUCCCAACUCGAUUAAAACGUUUCACCGUUUCCACUUGAACUAAUAAAAAAAAGAAAAAAAGAAGAAGAAGAAGAUGAAAACGACGUCGGUUGAGAUGAGAAAGAAAAAGGAAAGUUGGGGAUGAGAAGUUCGUAAAAGGGAAGUUGGAUAUUUGGUGGACUCUUCAUCUUUCCUCUUCCUCACCUCAUCAAAAGAUCCGAACCCGAAACUCUCGAGAAACACAGAGAGAGGAAGAGCCUCCUACUGUUCUGUAAUUUGAUUCCUCCCGAUUCUCUUUUCAUAUUCCCCUUUUUGUGUGUUCCAAGCAACCUCUGAUUCUCACUUUUUCUCCUUUUUCGCUGCAGAUUCCAACUGUUUCAGAUCUGAACGAUUUUGUCUGAAAAGUCUGUUCCUUUGAGAAUCAGGAUAAGUAAUCGGAGCUGGGUUUAGCGUUUAAGGAAGUUUCAAAGUCAACGGAUAUGCCGGAGGAGGAGUCGGUAGAUAUCAAAUUCAGGCUCUACGAUGGCUCCGACAUCGGACCCUUCCACUACUCGUCUUCCUCGACCGUCGACUUUUUGAAGCAAAGGGUCGUCUCUGAUUGGCCCAAAGGUUAGUUCGGUUCAUCAAAGUUUCCAUUUUGCUAUUGAAAGUUAUGAUCUUUGAUGAUUUAGAACAAAAUUGAUUAUCCAGCUUGUUUGAAUGUUUUGUUUCUGUGUUUUUGGUUGUAGGCAAAACAGUUGUUCCGAAAGGGAUAAACGAAGUGAAGUUGAUUAGUUCGGGUAAGAUAUUGGAGAAUAGCAAGACUGUUGGUCAGUGUAAGACACCCUUUGGAGAGGUUGCUGGUGGAGUCACUGUGAUGCAUGUUGUUGUACAGCCUUCUCUUGCCAAAACUAAAACAGGUAAAGUGUUCUGUUUUUUUUUUUUUUUUUUUUUUUUUAUCUCUCUUGCUUGUCAGAAAAUGUUCUCUUCAGGGAGAGUCUAUGUUUGAUUUUGUCACAUGUAUUGAUUGUUAUAUUCGUUUUGUGGCUCAAUUUUACUUCUUGUAAUAUCAUUUGUAUCACUGGUGAGGUUGAUAACAAGUGUGUAUCCACUAGCACUUUGUUCAUCAGCAAGUUAGUUAGUGACUAGGGUGAUUAUAAAUAAUUAAAAUGCUUCCUAGUAUUUUUUUUUAUUUGUUUGGCUUGUGAGAGUAAGAUCACUAUAUGCAUGAGCAAGUUAGUCAUUGACUAGGAUCCCUAAGUUUCUGGUUUGUUGUUUUUGUUAUUGUUCAAAACAAGGCAAAGUCAAGCUCUAGACUUUUAAAAGAGGCAUGUCAUAUGGGAAAAAUAGUCUGCCUUUUGUGCCGGUCAUCGUUAUAAGCAACUAGUAUGAUGUUUGUUUAUUCAAACCUUCUAGAGAAUUGGCUCACAAUGUUUUGCCAAUUAUAAAACAUUUGCAUCAUGAUUUACAAAAAAACUUGAUCAAAUGACUGAAGCUGAGAGUCUUUGCGUUGUAACUAACACUUGAAUGCCGGUUUUGAUUGAACAGAGAAAAAAGUCGAUAAAGCACCCAAGGCGGUUAUAUGCACAUGCACCAUUUUGUGAAAGGAGCAAGACAUGUAUCAUACAUACCAAUCUCAAUUCUUCAAGUACAGAAGAAAACAAAAAGUUAAGUAAAGUAAAAGUAAAGCUUCCCCUUUAAGCUGUGGAGUAUCAUCAUCAUAACCUCGAAAUCAAAGCUUUGAACGUGUAGAAAAUGAUUUAGAUUCUUUUGAAUUACCCAUCAUCUGUUGUUGUCCCUUGUUUGUUUUUGUCCACACUAUCUGGUAUACUUCAUUCGUGUCUGUACUGUAAUAAACGGAAGUUGUAUAGGUUACUUUAGCUCGAAAAUGAUUGUGUGAUGAAGAUGAUUAUGUAUCUAUGAAAGAAAAGAAGAAGUGUCUUUAUUCCUUUUCAUCAUUUCCUUCCACAUCAUUAUAAAAUACAGAUUCCCUCUUCUAGUGUUCUUAGGGGAUCAAUCAACCAUCCUUAGGAUUUUGACGUUCUCCAAGCUCUACUAAUAUGUAUUCUUGUAUCAUCACUGUUGCUCAAAACUUUCACAUCCCACAAAGAAAAGAAAGGAUGUAUGGUAUGAAUUGAAUAUGAUUAAUCUUCUGUAUCUGAAAGGCUCUGUAUUUUUCCGUAUCGGCGACGGUCUCUACACUCUUUUUAGAUCCUAGCAUCGUCGUUAUCAAUAUCAACGGAAGGUUGAAGAACAACCCUAACGACUUUAGUUGACGUGGCUCACAAGAAACAACCGAAAGAGAUGUGAAUUUCCACCGCUAGAAAAUUCUGAUGUGGUUCCUAUGUGUUGGUCAACCGUUAGGGAUUUUAGAAAACCAAGUCUUGUUUCUCUAUUUCUGUCACUGAAAAUCUUGAGUUUAGGUUGGAACAAUAAUGUAUAGCCAUAUUGAUUUUCUUGUUGAUUAUAACGAAUAAUUUUUCAAUAGAAUAAAGGCAUUCGCAUCAAAUGAGUAACUCAACUAGUAUAAUAGUAAUCAUGUGAUGUAAUCACUACGUAUGAUGAAACCAUAGAAAGUCGCUUAAAUAUGUAGAAUAGCGUUACAAUACCAUUAAACCAAAAAAAAAGAAAGAUAAUAUUAUUGAAGUGUCGCAUUGACAAUCUGGUUAUUCUAUAUAAGAUACUAAUCUGAAAAGAAAAAAAAAAAACUUAUCCAAAAUAAAGAAACCAAACAUAAAAAAAUAGGUGUAGUAGAAAUCACGGACUACAAUCGGGCCGAACUCGUACUUGGUCUGGGUCGGCGGUAUAGCAAUGCCAUAUACAAACCGUGACGAUUAUGAUAGCCCCAGCGAUGGUGCCUGCGAUGAGGCCUGCGAUGACUGCGAAGGUAUCAGGCUCCAUACUGCACGUGUCUUACCCUGCACACACACACUGACACACACCAAUUCUUUGUAACACUAAUCUUGUAUCUCUUCUUUUUUUUCUUGGGUGCAAACUAUAUAUAUAUAUAUAUAUACCUUGGCAUAUAUAAUAUACAUGUAUCGUUUAGGUAAUUUCUGAAAAUGAAUCGGUGAAAUAUAUAAGUUUUACAUUUUGUCAUUAAUUAAGGAACAUUGGUUGCACAAAAAAGGAACAUUAGCUAUUGGAAAUUUAUAGAUUUUGUAAUUAAGGAGCACAUGUGGCUGAUAUAGUAGCUGGAAAAAUUACAUAAUAUGUUGAUCGUUAUAGCAUCACAUAUGUAUAUGAAUAUAUGGUAUGCAUAGUUUAAGCCACUUUCAAUAUAUUUUCUUAACAUUUUGUUUAAAACAUUCUAAAUUUUUAACAUUUUAAGGUGUGGUGCGUUUAAGGAGUGAGAAGAUGUGUAAUAAGUCAUAAAAUAUGAAAGUGAGAUGCUUAUUAAUAGAACUUUUUCUCACAUACGUACUUUACAAUUUGAUCCCUCAGUAGACAAGUUAGAUAUAUCAGACGUAAGUGUACACAAUCUAAGGCGAGUCGAAGUUAAAGGUGGUCUCAAGGUAGAUCCAAUCUUGUCAGCAAGUAACUUUGCAAACCCCCAGUAAUAAUUAGAAGUUCAAGCAAAAUUGUUCAAGAUGAUGAAUAAAGGGCGAGAUAUUUGGAUUCAAGCAAACUCUUAAAUCUACAAAUUUAAUAACAAUCAGAUUUCUCUAAAACUGAAACCCUUGAGACUUGAGAGGGUUUAAUUCAUCCUCUGAGCAGCCUCCUUGGCGAGCAGCCUCUCCUUAGCCUUAGUCUUGGCCUGAGAUUUGGAUCCCAUAAUUCCACAUCCCCGCUUCUUCCGGUACUCGUCAUACUUGUUAUUGAAGUUAGCCUAUAUCCAACGAUGGAUACUGUUGAGAAUUCAUUUUACUGAAACAACCAAAAGAAAGGUGAAUUUCCACCGCUAGAAAAUUCUGAUGUGGUUCGAAAUCGCCGUAGAUCAAUCUAACUACAGCGGGGUAUUUUUUGUUGGCAUGCAGUGACAAGAAGAGAAAACAAAAUCUUAUACUUGUUGUGCUAUGGGCUUUUAGGGUUUGUGUCUUGGUCAACCGCGUUAAUUAGGGUUUUUAGAAAACCAAGAGUACAUUUUUUUUUUUUUUGGUCAAAACCAAGAGUACAUUUUAAAAUCAAAAUUUACUGAGUUAAGUCUGCGGUAGAGAUCAACUCAAACACAAGUCUUGUUUCUCUUUUUCUGUCCCUUAUAGACUGGAAAUCUUCGAAUUGAGGUUGAAACAAUGAAUCGACAUAUUUUGAGUUUUUGUUGAUCAAAACGAUUAUUUCCGUAAAAUAACGUCCAUUCACAUCAAAUAUGUAACUGACAAAGCAUACUAGUAAUCAUGUAAUGUAAACACUGCAACGUAUGAUAAAAUUAUUAUAAGAAAAUCAAUUAAAUAUGUAGAAUAGAGUUACAAUUCCAUUAAACCAACAUAAAUGAUAAAUAUUAUUGCAGUGUCGCAUUGACAAUCUGCUUAUAGGUUACUAAUCUGAAAAAAAAACUUAUCCAAAACCAAUAAACCAAACAUAAAAUAAGCAAUAUAGUACAUGCAUGAUAUUAGAAAUCAAGCACUAUUAUCGGGCUGAAUCUGUGCUUGGCGUAUGAUAACGAUUUUGUAAAGCCAUACACAAAGCGCGAUGAUUGCGCACGCCACAAGGAUGGCGGCUGCGCUGAGGCCCAUGACUGUGAACAUAUUAAUCUCCAUACUGUGUCUCAAACCUGCACACACACACACAAACACCAAAGUUUAUUCUUAGUAACUAUAUUCUUCUUUUUCUUGGGUGCAAACUAUAUAUAUACCUUGACAUGUAUAAUAUACACGUAUCUUUUAGGUAAUUUCUGAAAAUGAGUCGGUGGAAUAUUGAAGUUUUACAUUUUAUCAUUAAUGAAUAUUAGCUUAGAGAAAAUUGGAAAGUAUUAGAUUUAGUCAUUAAGGAGCAAAUGUGACUGAUAUUAGUAGCUGGAAAGUGUAAAAAGAAAAUGGAUUUUUUUUUUACAUUUUAUGUUGAUUGUCAUACCAUAAAAUGUACAUACGAUAUGCACGUAGUAAUUUAAGCCUACUUUCAAUAUAUUUUUCUUAACAUUUUCCUUAAAAACAUUCUAUAAUUUUGAUAUUUUCAUUAUGUGUGCCUAAGAAAAGGAGUGAGAAGCUGUGUAGUAAAGCAUAGAAUGUGAGAAGUAUAUGUGCUUAAUUAUAGCUAAGUUCUUUAUGUAAUGUACAAUUAGACCCCUCAAUAUACAAGUCAGACACAAAUGUACACAAAGAUGGUCUCAAGCUAGAUUCAAUCUUGUAAACAAGUAACUUUGUAAAGCCUCAGUCAAGAUAAGCGAAUUAAGCAACAAUGUUAUCGAGAUGCUUGGAUUCAAACUCUUAAUGUGUAAAUUUAAUAAAAAUAAGUUUUCUCCAAAACUGUAACCCUUGAGAAGGGCUAAUUCAUCCUCUGAGAAGCCUCCUUUUCUAGAACCCUCUCCAUAGUCUAGGCCUGAGACUUGGAUCCCAUGAUUCCACCUCCCCACUUCUUCCGGUACUCGUCAAACUUGUCGUUGAAGUUGGCCUAUAUCCAAGUCCAACGAUGGAAACACCGUUAAUAAUUCAUGUUACAGAAAGUAAACUCGCAUAGCUAUUUAGAUCCUCUACUGCAUCACCGUUAUCAAUAUCAACAGACGGCUAAAGAACAAACCUAAUGACUUUAGUUGACGUGGGUCACAAGAAACAACCGAAAGAGAGGUGAGAAAAUCCUGAUGUGGUUUGAAAUCGCCGUAGAUCGAUCUAACUACAGCGGAAUGUUUUUUUUUUCUUUCGCAGUGGCAAGAAGAGAAAACAAUAUCUUAAAACUUCUUGUGCUACAGGGCUUUUAGGAUUUGUGGUCUUGGUCAACGGCAUUAGGGUUUUUAGAAAACUAAGAGUAUAUUUUAAAAUCAAACUUUCUGAGUAAAGUGUGCGGUAUAUAUCAACUCAAACUCAAGUCUUGUUUCUCUUUUUCUGUCGUUUAUAGACUGAACAUCUUGAGUUUAGGCUGGAACAAUGAAUCGACAUAUUGAUUUCUUUUGUUGAUCAAAACGAUUAUUCCCUUCACAUCAAAUAUGUAACUCAAAAAGUAUAUAUACUAGUAAUCAUGUAAUGUAAACACUGCAAUGUAUGAUAAAACCAUUGAAAGAAUCAAAUCUAUUAUAUAAUAGGAGAGUUUCUCUCCUCCUGAUGCGACACGUCAGCGGUCUGUGGGUCCCACUUUUUAAAAGUGUGAAAAAAUGUCAAAUAUGUGGUUCGAACCCGGGUUAUUAAGAUAUAAGCACCCACAACUAUACCAUUGCACUAAAGGAUACUUUGUACAUUGAUGGUCGAAACUAAUAUAUAUUAUAAAGGUCGGAAACUAAUAUUACAUUGUUGACCCCACUUCUUUUUUUUUCCUAAUUGAUGGGUAACAAAUGUACUUCGACAAAAAGUGGGCUUUGGGCUUAUUAAUUUUCUGUUUAUUAGGCUUUGUAUCUGCUCAAAGUGGUGAUACGGACAAAGCUAAGAAGAUUAGGGAAGCCGCCAUCUUCACCAUCUCCUUCGUCGCUUGCGAUUUCCCUUCCGGCAAUCAGCAAUUAUGGUCGAUCUUUAAGGCUCUACGCACGUUUUGCGCCUACCAAACGCUUAGUUUCUCCUCUAACGCCUUCAGAGCUCUUAUAUAUAUAGAAUCCCUCGAGGUAAAAGCUCCAUCUUGUCUCGAACUUUUCUUUCUCAGUUUUUCGAUCGCUUUACUUUCUCACAUCUGUCACGAAAAUGACUUAUCCAGCUGCUACAGCCGCUUCAGCCGCCGUUACCUACUCUACCUUCAACUCUCUCCGCUUUGGAAGGUCCACUCAGUCCAUUGUUGGUCGGCUCAUCCGAUUCUAGGAUUCCAGAAACAUUAACAAGAAUGGAGAGUUUAUGGGCAUCACCAUUCUCCUCCUUGAUGAACUGGUGAUGAUUGUUUCUAACUUAUUUUUUUAUCACUUUAACUCUGCUUUGCUUAUUCUUUGUUCAUAUAUGAAACGUGUCUUUAUCUUUUUGUUUUGGUUUUGUCUAUGGGUUUUUUUAUGAGCAACUAAUGAUUUUUCUCUGUUUUUCUUACAGGAUUCUGUGAUCUACGGUUUCAUCCCUGCAAUCUCCAAACAAAACAUGAAAACUGAAUGAAUUAUGUUUUUAGCAACCGAAUCUAAAAGAAAUAAAAGACAUCUCACUUAACAAAUUAAAACCUUUUCUUUUGCAGAUUCCGACGACAACGAAGCACCCGAGGACCAACGACAAUGGAAUUAUGCGGAAGAAGCCUAACUGAUGUAAGUAAACUCCUCUUCAAUAACGCAUUACACUAUUAUCGCUCCCCAAUCUCACAAACUUAAUCUCUAAUCAUACCAGAGAUCCCACAGGUGAUGCUGUCCCGACGAAGGAGAAAAAAAAAAAAGAUAACCUAACGUUUUUUUUCCCAGUUUUUAAGUUCAAAUCAUGUUUUAGACAUAGAGCCCAACAUAAUUUGAGCCCAAACAUUUUAAACCCACAAUUACUUUUUCAUAAUGAAAAAACGUCAACCUUCGUUUAUGUUUUGUUAAACUACUUUAAUCUUUAUGAUUUGUUAAACUAUUUCACACAGGGGGCAGAUCUUCUUAGAAGGGGAGCCACUCGCCACGAUGCUUCCAGUUUCACCACUUUUGAAACUCUUAUGAACCACAAAGCCAAUAUAAGAGCUCUGUUUCAAUCCAACGGCUGGAUUUUGUCACAGACCACCGCUAAGCCUGAAGAGGGAAGAGAAGUGGAGUGCUGCGUUUUGGAAGAUGGUUACUUGGAGUUUACAAGAUGAAGAUGGAACCCGUGACGAGGAAGACGAGGAGAAGUGUUACUUGGAAUAUCCUAACGUUGAGGAUGUAGACAAUGUGUGAUCUUAGCGAUGAAGAUUAGUGUAGCUUUAAUAUAUGCUACUACGGUCCUUGAGCUCCCUAACAAGUACUAGCAAACAAUGUGUAUUUUGAAAAAAUAAAAUAAUUUUGUAAUGCAAGUAGUUUGAAACUUUGAGUAUUUAUUCAAACAACGGGUAUAUACAGAGUUGAUAACUUGAUAUGGACCCCCAAAUAAGUUGGUGUUGCGCUGUCACAAUAUCGUCUUUUUAAUUUCAUAUACCUGACGUAAGCUUCUUCAUCUUCUCUAUUUCUCUUUCCGUUGUUCCACGCUCUUUGUUUCAUGUUUAGGCAUUUUUUAUAUUCUCUAUAUUUUAUCUUAAUUAUACUUUUUGAAUUUUCCUUCCGUUUUGGGAGAUGUCUCUAACUUGAGUUAAUCGUCAAAAGCUAGGAUAAAUUUUGUUGUCUUAUUUCCGAUAAAUUUUAUUCUUUAAUUUGCACAAAUCUUAAACAACACCAACAUCCCGUAAAUCAUACCGCCCCACCGAUAUCCAAAGUAACCAGCCCCGCGCUUGCGCGGGGUCUCAGAACCUAGUAAAUAAAUAUAAUAGAGUUACAACACCAUUAAACCAACAUAAGUGAUGAAUAUUAUUGCAUGCCGUGUCGCAUUGACAAUCUGCUUAUUCUAUAUAGGUUAAUAAUCUAAAAAAAAAACAAACAUAAAAUAAGCAAAAUAGUACAUGCAUGAUGUUAGAAAUCAUCAAGGCCAUUAUCGGGCUGAAUCCGUGCUUGUGGGUUGGCGUUAUAGCAAAGCCAUACACAAAAACCGCUGAUAAUGAUCGACCCAACGAUGGCGGCUGCCAGGCCUAAGGCUACGAAGAUAGUCCCCAUAGGCAUAGCCAUACUGUGUCUCAACCUGGCACACAAACACACACCAAAGUUUAUUCUUUGUAAAAUUGUAACUAUCUUCUUCUUUUUCUUGGGUGCAAACUAUAUAUAUACCUUGACAUGUAUACUAUACAUGUUUUACCCAAAAAAAAAUAAUGUAUACUGUACAUGUAUAGUUUAGGUGAUUUUUGUAAAUGAAUCGGUGGAAUAUUGAAGUUUUACAUUUUGUCAUUUAGGAAUAUUAGCUAGAGAAAUUUGGAAAUUUUUUGAUUUAGUCAUUGAGCCGGGCCCUAUAGCAUUAGCAGCAUAACCCGUUGCUUAGAGCAUCAUUAUCCCAACAAUCAUUAAAGUUGCUUAAAUUUUUUCUUUUUCAUUUUUUUUGUCAAAAUAAAAAAUUAAAAAGUACACAAUUCGCGGGUCACCACGUGUUGGUGGAGUCCGCAAACAGAAAAUGAGGUGUUAUUUUGGGUACUGAAGGGAUGUUGCUUGUGUUUCUGGUGGGACAACAACAUAGUUUUCUAAUCCAUUACAAGUGUAGAGUGUUUUCUUUGUAUAUAGGAGACAGUACAUAAUAGGAGACUUUUUUUAAAAAAAGAGUUGAGAGAGAGAUUUCAAAGAUUGAAGGAUUGAGAAUAUAAAAUUUUACAGUGAUAAGGAUACUGAUCUAGAGGACGAUCGAUCCUUGUGACGGCUUCGGACCACUCAACAGUCCCCCAAAUCUCGCCAGUUCCCUUGUGCCUUUGUAAAGAGAUCUCUGCACACCUAAUCUCCCAUUUCCAGUCAGCAAGACAGUCCCAGAAGAGUAACAUGUUGGGACCAGAGUUGCUCAGUUUGUGACCGGGAAGCAUAUCGUCGAGGUAUUCCGAUGGCGUAAAACCCCGACUAUAGUUGACCACUCUGGAGGCACAAAGGGCGACCCUAAGAUCCUCCAAGCCCAUAACUUGUCUCCAGUUCAUCUCACCCCCCGCGGACUCCUCCAAUUCACUUGCCUCACACCACAAUAUCCACCCACCGGCUACACAAGAGUAGAUGACAUUGUCUAUCACAUGCCAACCCUUUCUAAGUUUGUUGGUAUCCGAGUUUCCUGUUUUCCAUAUGCGUUGGCUCGGAGUGUAAAGCCAAACAUUACCUUUCUCAUUCAAACCGAAAAUCUUCUUCGUCUUCUCCACCUCUAUCACCCCGCUUUCGGGCAUUAAGGAGGGAGAGUACAGAUCAUCUGGCUGCGUCUGCGGCUGCGGUUGCGGCUGUGUUGAAAGGGUACUCCAUGUCUGCCUCUUUGGAUCGAAAACCUCUACUACCCAUUUGCGGGGAUUUGGUUCCUUGACACCUCCAACAACGUAUAUCUUCCCGUCCACCACGCCCACCGCAGCGCAAGCUCGAGCUAACAUCAUGGAAGGGAGAUUGGUCCACGUAUGAGAUCGGCAAUCCAGGAAAAAGACCUGGACGACCGCUUCCCGCCAAUCAUCCCACCAAUCACAUAUAUACCCCAACCAUGGGCCACCACGGAAGAUGCUGCAGGAGGCUGAUACAAGUGUGGCCGGAUCGGUACCAGCCGACUAGGAUGAUUUACGGCUGCUGCUUUUGGGUAGAAGGCGUACAAACGGGUCUGAAGCGUUUCUUAAACAUAAAUAGAUGCAGUGUUCGGUGCGACCCAUUAGAGAUCGGGCUUGGUAUAACUCCGGGGAAAGCAUUAGAGAGCGGUGCAGCUUGGAGACCAGGUAUAAGGAUCCGUGGUCCAAUCUUGGGACAAAGGCCAAGCAAUUCAUUACGAUUUCAUCUGGCAAUAUAGAUAACUUACAGGCCUGCUGAGGACAAUACUUCUUCUUCUUCUGUUUCUUCCCGCAAUUCCUCCUCGUCGUGCUUUGUUUUGCUUUGUAUCUACCCUCUGUCCCAUAAACUGACAUCAUGUUUUUUUUUUCUUUUCCAAGAGAAAGUAGUUGUUCCAACUUGUAUAUAAAGGGUACUCUGGAUCCGAAUAAGGAACAAAACUAUAAUAUAUACUUUUUUAUGUUUCUUUCCUUUUUUUUUCUCAAUAAGAUUUAACCCUAUCAAUAAGGUUUUUUUUUCAAGGAGAAAGCGGAGAUGGGCAAAAAGGCAAGCAUGAAUGUUUAAGAUAGCUUGAUUCCAAGAGAUGUGAAUCAGUGAUUUACUUGUCCUUUGGGACCAUGUCAAGCUUUGACAACGAGCAGCUGGGCUUGGAUAUAUCAGGACAUGAUUCUGUAUGGGUGGUUAACAGAAGGUACGUAUCAUUUCUCAGUUGCAAUAUCAAGUGGACUUUCUGAUCUUUUUGAAUACCACAGCCAAAGCUUCUCGGGGUUCAAAUCCUGUAGCUUUCGUCAAUCCUAAAGCACAUGUCUACCCACGUCUUGCAUUAGGGACGAAGUAAGGUUCUCUUAGAGCAUGUGCAUCAGUGAACCCCAUGAAAGGGGUUCACAAAGUAUUUUUUUAUUAUUUUUUUUACUGUUUGAUUUUUGUUUUAAAAAAAAAAAAAAAUUAAUUAAUCGGACCAAUCGCGGGCCGCCACGUGUCGUGGGGCCCGCGCUACAGUGAUGAACCAGGUUCACUGGAAAGAGCUUAGGAGAGCCAGGUUCAUUACUAUUCAUUAUUAUAAUAUUUUUUUUUUUUUGGAAUCUGUGUGAACGCCCGUAAGUUUACUAAUGGGGGUGCUCUUAGAACUUGAGAAAAAAAAAAAAUAUAUAUAUAUCUUACUAAACAUGUUUGUUUUGAGCAUUUGAUAGAUGACAUCAACAUGGACGAGUGGGUACAACAUAAACAAGCCUGUUGUGCAAAGUGACUUUCAAGUAGAAAGAUCACCAGCUGAAAUCGUUACCUUCAACAGAAACAAUAGGUCCUGUUUUUGUUAUUUUCUUUCUUUAUCCUUCAGUGUGACACGCAAGGCAGCAAUCCUUGGCCUCUUCAUCUGGAUGCAUCAUGCAUUGGGAUAAGUUACUUUUUGUUUCACUUUCAGUCACAACCAAGAGCGUGAUUGGCCAGACACAUGAUCUUUCUAUGGCCGUAAAGACUCUGGAGGAUCAUUACUGUAUCUCUGUCUUGUCAAUGUUCCUUGUCUCUAAAUUUUUCUCUACCUUUUUUUAUUGCAGACCACAGUGUGAACAGUGACAAGGAUCACUAUUCAGGGACCUUCAAAGAAACCGUUCACGUUGUUGCAGGAAGUCGCUUGUCUCUUUUUAGCAAACUGACUCCCCAAAUGGAGCUUAGUCAGAGACUAUGACUAUUGGUUUGUGAAGUUGACUGCUUCACAUCACUCAUCGCUUCUCUUUGAGUGCUAGAGGAGCAGCAACGGCCAAGUGCAUGACUCCUUCAACGUCUCUAGAGAUGUUUUGGCUUGCACUCAUGAUAAUUGAUAGCUGCGUCCCCACCACAUCAGCUUCAUGAUCUUUCUUUCUUAAGACUAGUAGCUUUUUGAGGUUUUUUAAACAUGUUUUAAUUACAGAGUGUUCUUGGACAAGAUUAAUUUGUUUAUUUAUUUAACUGCAGAGAUCAUUUCUGUACUAGUAAUUUGCCUCUCUAUGUCUGCACAAACACAACAAAGUGACCAAACAUUCAGUCAGAUAUCUCUACUUCAGGGGACUUGUCUUAUUGGUUCUCAUGUGAAAUCAUUGAUGCGAGAUCUUCAACUUUCAGUGGAAAAUGUAUGGCCAUAUAUUGAAACAUGAUCUGCUGUAUGGAUCAUAAGUGCUCAGUGAAGUUCUUGAUUGUGGUGAGGAUCAGCAUGUUACAAGGUGAAGAUAAGUUAAAGGAAGUCCUACCUUUACUUACCAACACAACCAUUGAAAUCAGUAUUGAUAGAUUUGUUGAUGUAAAGCCCUGAAGAACAUUAGGUCCAUUGUCUAAUCUAUGCACUUCAAAAUUUGUUUGACCGCCUUAAUGGUCACCUAAAAGAACACUUUAACUAUAAUUAGUUUAAAGCUAAAUAGGUUACUGUUAUGUACUCCAAGUAUGAUACAUAGUAAAUGCCUUUGUAGCUACUUGGUUGAUGGAUUAUGAAGAGUUGGUUUAUUUGCACCUUGUCUAUUAUUAGGUUUUUUUGGAGGGAGAUAUACACAUUACUUGACUCAUGAAACAAAGGAGUAGUUACCUGUUUACACUGUCAUUAAAAUUACUAAGUGAUAUUAACAACUAACUGAUGAAGUUGUUACCAAUUUACAUACUUCUCUUAAUCAGUCUACAUACUUCUCUUAAACAGUCUCCUUAGCAUUAUAAAAGUCAUCAAAUGUAGUAUGCACUACAUUGCAAGUUCACCAUAACGUGUGUAACGCUAAACAUAUCAAGAAACAAGGUACUUGUUAAAAAAACAGAUGUAAAAUAUCAGAUAUUUUAUCCUAUAUUAUAGAAAAUGGAACUGAAAAAGAUCACACUAGAAAUUUAUAAAAUAAUCUAACUUCAGGUAUUGUUUAAAAGGCAAUUUCAUCAAAUUGACUCUAUUCAAAAAUACUAACCAAUUUUAUCAUGAACAACUAAUAAUCAUUGAUUUUAGUUAAUCAUUCAUUACAAAUUCAUAAUUUUCUUUGUACUUUUAGUUUCUACAUAUAUAAUAAAUAAUUAAAGAAAAUGGUAAAAUAACAUUAGAGAUAAACAUGAGAAAUCAACUGCACAGGAAAAGUGCAAUGAACAAAAAAAAACAAUUAAGACAAAAUUUUACAUAUCCUUACUCUAUCUAGUUAGACAUCUUCACAAGUUCUUUGUGUCUCAAAAGCAAAACACUUUCUUAUUCCAAGAAGAAUAAUCUUCUUUGCAUAGUUGAGUACCAUACAUUCCAAAUCAAAAUAGUUGAGUACACUCUUGAGCAUUUUCACCAUAGUGUUCCAAUUUUUUGUUUUCAACAAAGAUAGAUCAUCUAUCACUCAUUUAUUGGAUUAAUGUGACAGUAGUAGUUGGGUCAUCCGCCAUUUAUGAUUGGGUAAGAAGAUGAAGAUUCGUUUAUGUUUUGAAAAACAAAAUAAACUCCUAAUGCUCUUAGCAUUGGCAGUCUGGUCCAUUUUGAGCAAAACACCACUAUUUAUAACAUGUCUCACAGUGCUUGAGAGCUUCACAAUGCAUGUUUGAAUGCUCAAGGCACAAUGCCAUGGCAAAGUUUUUGUAGAGUAAAAGAAACAACAACAACAAAAUAAAAAUAAAUAGAUUUGACAAAAGCGGAAAGAGAAACAUUUUCACCUGAUACUUAGUGUAGGCUGAGCGAUUCAGUAGGCAUGUUAAUGGACUAGUUUCGACCAUUGACAAUGUUACCCUGUAGAUUUCUAAAUCAGAUUAUACUUCACCUACUCAACAUAAAAGCAAGUUACGAGAUAGAAUUCAUCUAAGUAGAUACAAGAUAAUAAAUACAAUGUUCCUUUUAUUUACCAAACACACAUUCUCCAAGAUCAAAGAUUAUUUUAACGAAUGACUCAAAAUUAACCACACUCCUUCUCAAUGACUUUGUCUUGUUGAGUAGCAUAAGAGCCUCAUUAAACAACAAGUCGAUAGUAUCCUUUUCACUUUCAAGGGAAACACUUGGCGAUCAAACACGAUACCAGCUUCAAGUUUACAUUGAAACUCUCAUGUGCACCAUUGCCAAAGUGGUAUACACUGGUACAAACAACAUCAUCAUCAGUCCUAUAAAAAACCUUUUAAACCCUAAACAUCUAAACCUUUCAAUAUACCUAAACAUCUAAACCUUUCAUACUUCUUGACUUCUAGGAACUCUGAACCUCUAUCAGUCAAGUUUUGAAUCAAUUCCUCCAUUGAAGUUGCAUCUGCAGCCAUCUUUCCUUCGCGGAAGAAGAAGGAAGAGAUGAGAUAGCAACUGGAGAGAGAUAACGACACUAGAAAAGAUCACAAGAAAAGAUUGAAGAUUCGUUCUUUCUUCUUUUACUCUGUUUCUAAAUCAAUUGCAACAAAUAAACCCUUUUAUAGUGAUUAAAUUAUCCGAGAACACGCGGGACUAAAGUUUAUUUAUUUUUAUUUUUUUAACGAAGUGUUAGAUUUUUAUUUUCAGAUUUAUUGAUUUUCGGUAUUAAAUCAUAUUGGUCUGGAUGGGUUGAUUUAGUGGUUUUAUUCUUAUUUUUAUUUUAUUUUCUUUAAUUUCAUUUUAAGCUGUAAAAAAAUCAAGAUUAUUUUAAUAUGAAGAUUUUUUAUGAAAAUUUUUUUAUUAAUAUUUAGUUAGUUGCUUUAAAAGUUUUUUUUUUUAAUAUAUAGAAAAUGAAAAUAAUAAAUAAAUUCAUGGGACCUUCUUAAUAACCGGUCCGUCCGGUUCGCUCUUCCUCUUUACUCAAGAAAACAUAUUUCAAUUUUACUACUAUUCAUCUCCUCUCUUUCUCAGAUCCGUCUCAAAUUUUUUCUCUUGAAUUGAGUGUGUAGCAGCAAGCAGCCAUGGACGGUGGAGCAGAAGGAACUCAGCAGCCUCACCUGAUUCUAGCUCACAAGCUCUUCCUCCUCACUCACCCCGAUGUCCAGGACAUUGAGAAAGUCCAGCUCAAGUCUGAUGUCUUGGAUUCCAUCAAAUCCGAUGGUAAAGUAGCUUCCUUUCUCUAAUCUCUGAACACAAGUUUGAAACUUUCUAUGUGGGUUUUCGUUUUCUGAUGUUGGGUUUGGUGUUCUUUUAUAAGGUAUGGCUCCUUUGUACGAAACCCUAGCGGCGUCUUCUGUGCUGGAAUUGGAUCAGAGCCUGUUGGAUUCUAUGCGGGCUAGUAACGAGGAAGAGCUUAAAAAGCUCGACGAGAAGUAAGCUAAGCUUCCUUCUUCCUCUUGCUUCUAUAUCUAAGUUUCUGCUUGUUUCCAAUUAGACCAUUCUGGAGAGUUUUGUUGCGUCUUCAGCUUCCUAGAUUCUGACUAGCUUUCCACUGCUGAUGCAAAAGAUUACAAAGCGUAUGGAUACUACAAGUCCUGUCUCUCGUAUUAUGAUAAGUUGGUGUCUUGAAUUGGAUGUUAUAGAGUUAUGUGCAGUUUUAGAAUACGAGGCGCAUUGGUUGGAGUUAGGUCUUGGAUUGGAUGUUACCGUGUGUAGGUGAUGUAAUGAUUUUGAGGGACUGUGUUUAAGAUUUGAUGGAGCUCUUCUAUCAUAGAUAGCAUCGUGUCUUAUAAUCAAUGUUGAUGUUCACUUACUUUGUUCCUUCGGUUGUCUGCUUUGAAUAGGAUUGCAGACGCAGAAGAAAAUUUGGGAGAAAGUGAAGUCCGUGAAGCUCAUCUUGCUAAAGCUCUGUAUUUCAUCAGGAUCAGUGAUAAGGUACUUGAGUUAUUCAUUCCGCACUUCAAAGGACUUCCGUGGCCAAUAAAGUUUUUGCUUUGUGAAUCCAGGAGAAAGCGUUGGAGCAACUCAAACUCACUGAAGGAAAAACUGUUGCCGUUGGGCAAAAGAUGGACCUUGUGUUCUACACAUUGCAGCUUGCGUUUUUCUACAUGGACUUCGAUUUGGUUUCAAAAAGCAUUGACAAAGCCAAAAAGUAAAUGUUGCUUAGGCUCUUUGGCUACUACCCUUAAUGUAAAGGGAAACUGAAACCGUUGGUCUGUUCUCCCGUGACAGGUUGUUUGAAGAGGGCGGUGACUGGGAGAGGAAGAACAGACUAAAGGUCUAUGAAGGCUUGUACUGCAUGUCCACCAGAAAUUUUAAGAAGGCUGCCAGCUUGUUUCUGGAUUCUAUAUCAACCUUCACGACUUAUGAGAUCUUUCCCUACGAGACCUUCAUUUUCUACACCGUCCUGACCAGCAUCAUAACUCUGGACAGAGUUUCUCUUAAGCAAAAGGUAUUUUUAUCCAUGUCUUAGUUCCUCUGUGAAUCUCUUUGAGUAAAAUGCUAAAUUGCUACUAAUUUGGGACAGGUUGUUGAUGCACCUGAGAUCUUGACCGUCCUUGGGAAGAUACCGUUCCUUUCUGAGUUCUUGAACUCCCUGUACGAGUGCCAGUACAAGGCGUUUUUCUCAGCAUUUGGUUAGUACAAUACAGUGACUAGAUUAGCUUACUCCUUUUUCUCUGGGUGAUAAUUAAUAGCUCCACUGUUGGUGUAUUUUUCUCAGCUGGAAUGGCAGAGCAGAUAAAGUUUGACCGGUACUUGAACCCACACUUCCGGUUCUACAUGAGGGAAGUGAGAACAGUGGUGUACUCUCAGUUUCUGGAAUCUUACAAGAGCGUGACGGUUGAUGCCAUGGCAAAUGCCUUUGGUGUUUCAGUGGACUUCAUUGAUCAGUAAGCAACACUAACAAACGCUCAAUUACAGAGCUCUUUUUUUUUAGAACUGACAUGAAAUAAUGUUUUUUUUUUUAAUACAGGGAGCUGUCACGCUUCAUUGCUGCUGGGAAGCUUCAUUGCAAGAUAGACAAAGUUGCAGGUGUUUUGGAGACUAACCGUCCAGAUGCAAAGAAUGCACUUUACCAGGCAACAAUCAAGCAAGGAGAUUUCUUGCUAAACAGGAUCCAGAAGCUCUCUCGAGUCAUCGAUCUGUGAGCGAGCAUGUCACCCACAUGUUUCUUUUCCUUGUAUUUUCCUUCAAAAUUGCAACUUGGAAACUCUUUACGGUUAGAGAUAGUUUUUAUCUUUUAGCUGUUUCUUCACUUGUAUCGCAAUACAAAUAUGUUAAAAUCAUUUUUCACAAAGAACUGAACAAGAUCGUAGUCAAAUCAAAUUUUGGUAUCAUCACAUUAGUUAGUUGCAGAUAUCAACUGUGUCUGAUUCCUUUUCUUUCAUACUAAUAUAAAGACUAUUUUUUUUUUAAUGCGCUUAACGCUCCAAGAAUGAGCCAAGCGGUGUUCUGCCACACACACACACACAAGUCUUUGCCUUUAUCCUCUUUUUAUUAUCUCUUUUUCUUCUAUUUUUGAGACUACCUGUGCCUGUGCGAGAAAAUGCAUGCGAUAGAUUUCAAAGAGAUUCAAGAAAAGCUCUCUGAUGGUUUCCGGCCAUGGCAAAGGUCAUUUCAGUUCUGGGCUCGUGCUUCCGAUAUCUACACUGGAUAUAAGGUUUACUUUCUCCUUCUUCUUCUUCCUUCACAGUUUUUACUUUGUUGCAUGCAAGUUGUAAAGUGUGUUGCUUUGUUGUGGUUUCUUAGGUAUUUCAGCUUAGAGUGAGCUUCGUCAAGGAUGUGAAGAAACAAGAGGAAAUGUGGGAGACGCAGCAUGAACUUGCUGCUCACAAGAUAUACGCUAUGUGCUCUGACCUUGGUGGUUUCUUCCUUAAGGUGAUACUAAUGUGUAUAUAAUAUACUCUUUAACUGUGAUAUUCUUACUUGCCUUUUACUUAUUUGGUGUGCUGAGACCGUUGGUUCCUUCAAUAGGUUGCGCAAAUUCUAGGGAAACCUGAUCUUGCGCCAGCUGCUUGGGUUAGAAAACUCGUCACUUUGUGUGAUCAAGCUCCUGCUACGCCAUUCGACUCAAUUAGACUUGUCCUGGAGAAAGAGUUAGGUAAAAGCAUUGAUGAAGUGUUUGAAUCAUUUGAUGAUAAGCCUCUUGGGUCUGCUUCUAUUGCUCAGGUACUAGAAGAUUAAUCACACAACUGUUUGAGAACCUUUGUUGUGUACUUCUGUGCAUGCUUAUAAAAACAAGAUUAAGAUGAUGAUACUAUCAUCAUGAGAGAAAUUUAGUAACAGCAAUUUAAGCAAAACUUACAGUUUCACUCUUUAUCUUUGUUGCUUCUGGUUUAGGUUCAUCGUGCAAGAGUAAAGGGAGACGAGAGAGAUGUUGUUGUAAAGGUGAGAAUAAUCAUUAGACAAACUGAAAGCUUUCUAGCAUUUUUCAUUAGUGUCUGAAUGUGGAACCACAUGUUUAGGUUCAACACCCUGGCGUUGAGAAACUAAUGAUGACAGACAUACGGAACUUGCAAAUAUUUGCAUUAUACAUGCAGAAAACAGAUAUCAAAUUUGACUUGUUCUCCAUAACAAAGGAAAUGGAGAAGCAGGUACACUUGUAAAGAUAUAAGGUUAGGAUCUUACUGCUCUCUCAAGUCACUAGAACUCCUUGUGUGUUUUCAAUUUUUUCAAGAUUGGAUAUGAAUUUGACUUCAAAAGGGAGGCCAAUGCAAUGGAAAAGAUCCGUCGAUUUCUUUAUGAUAACAACAGGAAGAGUCCUGUUCUGGUUCCCAGGGUGUUGCCACAAUUGGUGACCAGGUACUUAUUCUUAUAUUAGCCUUCCAGUUAUCUCAAUAGGUUUUUUUAACUUGUCUUGCUUCACUGAUCAUGAAUGUGGUUUUGACAGAAUCUCUUUUCAUUCAUGAUUCUUUUUAAAAAAAUUAGUGCUGAUCAGAGGGUAACCAUAAUGCACACAGGAGGGUUCUGGUGAUGGAUUACAUUAAUGGAAUCCCUAUCUUGAGACUCGGUGAUGAGAUGGCCAAAAGAGGGAUAAAUCCUCGUGGUAGGAUGGCGGAGGCAGCAAAACUGUAAGCUUUCUAGGAACAGACAAUCUCUCUCUCUAUGCUUUUGAUCUCUUGUUUCUUGACUAGCAUUUGGAUCUUGUCAUGAUGUGUAACGGGAUAAUGUUCUCUUUUUUUUUUUUCUCUUACUCCCACAGAAAUAUACUUAGCAGUUUGUCUAAAGCAUAUGGGCAAAUGAUAUUGAAGAGUGGUUUCUUUCAUGCUGAUCCACAUCCUGGGAACAUCUUGAUUUGUAAAGGUUCAGAGGCAAGUCAUCUUAAUUGACUUUACUGGGGUCUUCUGAUUUGUUUUGCUGUUUAUGUAUUUUUGACUUGUGACCUUGUUUCUCGUUGUUAGGUUGCACUGCUAGAUUAUGGUCAAGUGAAGGAACUACCUGACCAUUUGAGACUUGGUUAUGCAAAUUUGAUCAUUGCCAUCGCUGAUAACAAUGCCUCAUUGGCAUCACAGAGCUUUAGGUAAUUCAAAAACUCACUAUUACCUGUGGGACUUGUUUGUCCUAUGGGAUAGAGUCUUGUGAUGGAGUGAGAAGGAAAUAGUUGGUGAUAAGACUUUGUUAACUUAUGUUGGUUACAUUCAUUUGGUCAGAUUAGUGUAGCAUAUGAUCCCUUGGUUGUUUCCGUGGUGAAUAUAUAGGGAACUGGGUAUAGUUACAUUUGCCAAGUGUGAGAAUGAGCAGCAAGAACUUCUCCAGUUAGCAAAAACGAUGUUCGACACAAAGAUGCCUCCCGGUGUAUCAGUUCUGCAACCUUUCUCAGAAGACUCUUCCAUCAAAAAGAUAUCCGUUGAGGUAAUUGUACAACCUGUUGUGUGUGUGUGUUUGGGUAUAAUGCAAAAACUUUACUGUGUUUGUUUGUUUGUUUGUUUGUUGUGGGAUAGGGAUUUCCAGAGGAACUAUUCUCUGUUCUUCGCACGGUGAUUCUGUUAAGAGGGCUGAGCGUAGGGAUUGGGCUUAAUUACUCAUGUGCUCAACAGUGGAAGCCUAUCGCAGAAGAGGCUUUGCUUGCAUCUGGAAGACACUCGCCAGGUUUACCACUCUUUUGUAUUACUUUUUUUUAUUGUUUAGCAAAAUCUGUUUUGUAAUGGAAGGUGACAACAUUUCAGGUAAAAAGCAGAAGCGUAGAUUUAGUUCUUUGAGGAGGCUAUACCCAAGAGAUUAAGAACACAAACACAUAACAGAGUUGAUGGUUUUCUUUUCUCUUGCAAAUGAUACAAUCAAGGCAGCAAGUUGUCUAUACACGCAAAUGUCCAGUGACCCAGAAACUAUCCAGCCGUUAGUUUCAUAUUCAGUUAAGAGAAAACAUGCGUUAAUAUUCAUGAAAAGACUUAUUAUCCCCCUUGCAAAAUUCUCAGACCCUAAAAGUGCAAGAAAACAACCACAUGGAUGCAUGCUCAAGAGAGAAAUAACUUAAUAUGAUCCCUUUAAUUUGGUGUAUUGGUUCCAAAGAUUUAAUAUAUGCCUUUCAUAUUAACUGCAUGUCAAAUGAAUGACAUUUAGACAAUUGGUAGCCAUAAAGGAUGACACUGGAGUCCUUCUAAGUUCUAUGUCAGAAAAAACUUGAAUUCAAUCAAGAUUCCCUUGAACACAAGUGAGCAUUUGGGUCCACAACUACGAAAAUAAACUAGAUAGGAUAACAUGAUAUGUACCACGUACUGUAUUUGUGAGUGGAUGCCAUAACAUUAUGCUUAUGUUCAAAUUAUCGGCGUACUUUACGGACGAAAACAAAAAAUAAUAAACAAAAGAAAAAAAGAAUGAUAUGUCGCUUGCAUGCAUGUAAGAGCUGUCUGCUUUCCUUUCAGAGACUAUAAUAAGUCUUUGGGAGGCAUGUGCUGUGGUUACUCAAAUCUUCAGUGUCGUUGUCAGAUUUAUCUUGGUGGAGUGAAGGUGAAGAUAUCUUGAGCCUAUCCUUGAUUGAUUCCCACUCCUUCAUCAGUUUAUUUUUGUUAAAUUGUAACUCACUUUUAUAUUUGAUUUGUGUUUUAAACAAUGCUAAAAAGUUGUUAAACGGUAAUUAAGUGUUUAUAGAUGAUUAAUGCUUAGGUGAACGUUUUACGUUUGGACGACGCCUAAACCGAUUCUUUCAGAAAAAUCAUUUUAUCACUUUGAUCUAUUUUUAGAACACUGGUUUUGAAUAAAGAUGUUAUUUUGACCCAAAUUUUUGACAUUAUUAUUAUUAUUGUACUUUUCCUUUUAAUAAUACUCACUCACGUUUUUAGUUUUCUCUUGUAAACCAACCGUAUCAUUUGAUUAAGUUUGUCCGAAGAUUAGCAUGCCUAAACUGUCAAAAACAACCUAACAAUUACAAAUGGAAUGAAUCCCGUAGAACCUGCAAAUCACGGGACACUACAUGUCCCACUAUACUUCUUCUUUACAUCUCUAAUGCUUUUCACAUUAACCUAUCAUUACGAAUACCUAUUAACUAAUGACUUUUAGAGCAUAGAUUUGGAUUUAAAUCCCCUGCCGUGAUUGGUGCAUUAAGAAGUGGAAAAGUAAUAUGGUGAAAACAAACAAAAAAUAUUACUGUUUUCACGUCAUUUUCACCAACACCAAUCAUGAAGAAAAUGGCUGAAACUAACCUCUACAUUUGAAGAUUUACGCAAUAAUUAGUCAAUAGUUAAAUAGGAAGACUAAAAACUCCAAGAGCAAAUGAGCUUAAAUUUGAGAAAAAUGAAAACCAUAAUGAAGAAAACAAUUACAUAACCCUACUAAAACUACAUGGCUUACAGUUUGAUUAUCAAAUUUUUUAUUUUCUUUUUUUCAUCAUCUCAUUCUUUUUUAUGUUUGCCAUUUAUGUUUUGGUACUCGAUUACUUUGACAUGUUCUGUUCUGUCGGUUUAACUUUGCUUUUCGUUGAAAUCUCCCCUAACAUGUGCUAUAGUAUAUGGUUGGAGAGUCAGCUCUCAGAAUAAUAAAGGCUAACGGUUCUGAUACGGACACUUUCUAAUCUCUUUAGAUUAUAGUUUGUUGCAAUAUAUGCAACUAUAUAUAUAUCCUGAAACAUAAGAUGUAAAGUCUGAUGAAAUGCAAAUUAAGCUAAAGCAUGAGAAAUGAAAAAAAAACUAGCAGUCUAUGGACUUUUUUUUUUGCAUCAUUAUAAUAGGUUGUGAUUUACAUAACAUCUCAAACUUUUGUUAAAUUCAUUUCGAGUGAAACUGUUAUAUAAACUGAUACAUUUUAGUAAAAGGCGAAAGAAUAGUUCGCUUUGUGCUCACCACAUGGCUGUGUUUUUGUUGUUGGUUUGACGUUCUUUAAAAGGAGUAAUUUAAUCAACUAGAAUGGUUACUAAGUUUGGAUCCUUAAUCAUUACUUCAAAACCAACUUCCUAUUGUUUUUAUUCGGCUAAACAGAGUAACAGACAAGUGGAACUUAUUUGAAAAGUAUAACAUUUUCGACCUAAUUAGAUUGGAGGCUUUUGUUUUUUUUUGUCAACAAUUGUAACGGAUGUAAAGCAUUCUAUUGGUUCUUCCUAAAGAUUAUUAUUAUAUAAAUUCUUUACUAAAGAAGAUAUAUAUAAAAGAGUGGGACCCUAAACCGAAAAGUCCAAUAACAAAAGAGUGUGGAGUUUCCUGUACAUAUAUCUUUUAUAUAAACACUCAAACUUUCAUCUAUUCGCACUCAAACCUUCUCUCCUCCAUCUUCGUUUCCCUCUUCUCUUACUUAAACCAAGAGAAGAAAAAAUAAAGAAAAAUGCAGAUGACGAAGCUCUUUAUCUCCAUAGUCUCCUUUCUUCUCUAUGCUCAUUUGAUCUUAUCUUCACCAGUACCAGACCCAGAAGCUAUCGUCGAAGAAGUUCACAAGUACAAAUUAAAUCUUAUUUCUUCCAUAUUCUUCUUGCACAUUUUACUUGUAACACAACUUCUCAUGUAAUAAUAAUAUCCUUGGUUGUCAACUCUUGCAGGAGCAUUAAUGCGUCGGUUGCUGGAAGAAGGAAGCUAGGUUACCUCUCAUGCACCACUGGUAACCCCAUCGACGACUGUUGGCGAUGCGAUCCACACUGGGAGACCAACCGUCAACGUCUCGCAGACUGCGCCAUAGGGUUCGGCAAGAACGCUAUAGGUGGCCGAGAUGGUCGUAUCUACGUGGUGACAGACUCAGGAAACGACGACCCAGUGACCCCCAAACCCGGAACGUUAAGAUACGCUGUGGUUCAAGACGAGCCACUAUGGAUCAUUUUCCAACGAGACAUGACCAUUCAGCUCAAAGAAGAGCUGAUCAUGAACUCUUUCAAGACCAUAGACGGUCGUGGCGCGUCAGUACACAUAGCUGGUGGGCCAUGCAUUACGAUCCAGUACGUGACUAACAUCAUCAUCCAUGGUAUCCAUAUCCAUGAUUGUAAGCCAGGUGGUAACGCUAUGGUGCGGAGCUCACCACGGCAUUACGGAUGGAGAACGAUAUCGGACGGUGACGGUGUCUCCAUCUUUGGAGGAAGUCAUGUUUGGGUUGACCAUUGUUCGUUAUCUAAUUGCGAAGACGGGCUUAUUGAUGCUAUAAUAGGCUCGACGGCUAUUACUCUGUCUAACAAUUACAUGACGCAUCAUGAUAAGGUCAUGUUGCUUGGUCAUAGUGACACUUACACUCGUGACAAGAACAUGCAAAUCACCAUUGCUUUUAACCAUUUUGGCGAAGGUCUUGUUCAAAGAAUGCCAAGGUAAAAAAGUAUAUAAUAAUGUUAGAUUUUUGUUAGUAAAUUAAUGUGAUUUUGAUAUGUGAUUAAAAUUUUGGGACCAUUUGUUUGAUGUGUGUAGGUGUAGACAUGGGUACUUCCAUGUGGUGAACAACGACUAUACACAUUGGGAGAUGUAUGCUAUUGGUGGAAGUGCUAACCCUACAAUCAAUAGUCAAGGGAACAGAUUUUUGGCCCCAGAUAUUAGAUUUAGCAAAGAAGUGACUAAGCAUGAGGACGCCCCAGAGAGUGAGUGGAAGAGCUGGAACUGGAGAUCCUCUGGUGAUUUAUUGCUAAACGGUGCAUUUUUUACGCCUUCGGGUGGUGCUACCUCGUCUAGCUAUGCCAAGGCUUCGAGUCUUGGGGCUAGACCGUCUUCUCUUGUUGGACCGUUGACGGUUGGUUCUGGUGCAUUGAAUUGCCGUAAGGGUUCCCGUUGCUGAUUGUGGUGGCUCACUUAAGUGUAUUUAGCCAAUUUAAAAAAUGAUAUAGAAAAGGCAAUUAAAGCCAUCAAUUAAGGGGUUAAGUUAUAACUUUCAUUACCCCCUUUUAAUUAGUCUCUUUUGAUUUUUCUUCUUUUUGGGGUAAAGUUAAGGAGAAUACAACCUCUGGCUUCACUUCUCUUAGGACCCAUCUAAGGAAUUUUCUGUUUUAAGGUAUCUUUUAUGGCCCCAUCUUUUAUUAGGUUAAAGUGUAGUAACAAGUGCAGAUGUGUUGAUCUUCAUAUUAAUAUACUAUAAUAUAUGUCUUCUGUUUUUUUUAUCUUCUUAUAAAAUCAUAACGAUGAACACAAACAGCUCAUAUGGAAAGUGUAGGCACACAAUGCACAUUCAUAACUCAGAAAGUUUGGAAUGUUCUCUAACAUGGGAAGCUUUUUGGGUCAAAGUUGUUCGAACCAAUCAAUGCCUGACAAAAGCCACGACUUUUCUACACUAUGGUUGAUGCAUAGACUGUGUUAAAUACAAAUAAUUCAAAAGGAAGAAAAACUGAAGUAGUCAUGUGUCUCAGCAGCCCUACUUUGGAUGGAGUGGUCAUAUUCGUGUAUUGACUAUUGUCCACUGAUUGUGGAUAUAUUUUAAAUCUGUAACUAGUAUAACUAACGAACCAAUGUAUUCGUUUUCCUCCAUAUAACUAACCAGUAUAAUACACCUUUUUCUUUGCCAUGUCAUGUCCCAUGUGCAACAUAUUAUUAAUUCAUUAAGGAAAGAAAAAGCAAUAAGAUCCUGUGGUUACUAGUCGCAACAAACAAUGUGAUGCAGUUGGUUUGUUUAUGUGGUAGUUCAAAUCGGUAAAGUCAGUAAUGCAGAAUAUGAAGUUACAAACUUACAAAGAAAGUCUUCCCUUCUUUUUCUUUUGUCAUAAUAAUAAUAUAACAUCAAAGUUGUUAGAAAUUUUUGACACUCAAAACAAUUAGGGUUUAAAGAUCGGAUUAUAUAGUUUGAAGACCGAAUGAUCCCAUUACAUACUAACCACUGGGUCCGAGAUGGAUAUUUUGUUUUGCUGUCCCAAGGACUCGUUUUGUUCCAAACACAUGAAGCUGUUAUGUUAACUUUUAGUGGUCAUAUUCUAUUCCAGGACCUAGCUAGAACCUGUAGAACUUAAAAAUCAAACUAACUAAACCAAGCCCAUCCUAAUCGAAUCGCCCAAUAAUUAGCCCAUUCAAAUAUUAUUUUUCUAUUUUCAAAAUAUUUUAUUCUUAAAUGAUAUUUAACUUUUGGUAUCGAACAAUAGUCUCUUCUCUUGCGCUGUCUUGUCCCUCCUUAUCCCUAUCUCUCUCCCACUCCUCUUCCUCUGCAAUGGCUUCUUCAAUAGUAACCUCAAGCUUCAAGCCCUUAGCCAUGGCAGACUCUUCCUCUUCCACCAUCUUCUCCCACCCUUCACUCUCCACCAUCUCCCCUCGCUGCUCCUUCCUCACUAACCUCCCGCUCUCGUUCUCCCGCGUCUCCCUAUCUCUCAAAGCCAAAACCAACCUAAAGAAGUCGCCUUUCGUCUCCUUCGUUGCUCAGACUUCUGAUUGGGAGGGGGAAGAAGGUGGGGACGUGAGCGCUUCCGUCGCCGUUGAGGAGAACGAGCCAGAGGCGACGUUUUCCGAAGAGGAAGGAGAUGUGAGCGAAGGAGGUGACUUCCCGGAGCCACCGGAAGAAGCGAAGCUCUUCGUCGGAAACUUGGCGUACGACGUUGAUAGCCAAGCCUUGGCUAUGCUCUUUGAGCAAGCUGGUACCGUUGAAAUCGCUGAGGUGAAUGUUAUUUGCUGCUUGUAUGUGUUUAUGUUCAUUAUGCAUUGCUUAAGUGGUUUAGAUAAAAGUAAUGUUAUUGGCUUUUAAGUGUUUGAAGCAUCUCUGGCUUGAGAGUACUACUGAAGUGAUGUGUGGAUUGAAUUUGCAUCUAUUGACAUUGUAUGUUCGUAUAGAUAACGUUAUUAAUCCUAAAGUGUUCUUGGGAUUCUUGUGGUUGAAGGUUAUCUACAACAGAGAGACAGACCAGAGUCGUGGGUUUGGAUUUGUGACAAUGAGUACGGUGGAGGAAGCCGAGACUGCUGUUGAGAAGUUCAACCGUUAUGUAAGUUUUAUAUGUUUCUACCAUUUCUGAAGUAGUAGCAUCUCUUGUUCUGGGAUGUUAAUCCUUUGAUAUUGGCUCAUAAGUGGCGUCAAUAACUCUUAAUCCGACCAAAGCUUUUGUCUUUCUGCUCCAUUUUCUUUUUUUGUCCAUAGAGUAGUGCUGUUUACUACCUAUCCCCAUUUGUUGCAUUUUUCAUGGAGAUGUUAUGUCUUAGACAUUUUGUCAACAGAGUUGAGUUUGGGGCUCUGUUUGUGAGAAGAUUACUGAGCAUCUGUGUUGUUUUUUUUAUUGUCAGGAUUUGAACGGACGGCUUCUGACAGUAAACAAGGCAGCACCAAGAGGAUCACGUCCAGAACGCCAACCUCGGGUAUACGAACCUGCAUUCAGAGUCUAUGUUGGAAACCUACCAUGGGAUGUGGACAACGGUCGUCUAGAACAAGUUUUCAGCGAGCAUGGCAAAGUUGUGGAAGCUCGUGUGGUCUACGACCGUGAGACAGGUCGUUCACGUGGGUUCGGUUUUGUGACAAUGUCUAACGAGACUGAACUCAAUGACGCUAUCGCUGCUCUUGAUGGACAGGUAAACCUUCCUCUCAUAUGGUCAUGAAGAUUCUGUGAUGAUCUCUCAAUCGAUCUUUCUUUAUGUCUAUGUUUGCAGAACAUGGAAGGUAGAGCAAUCAGAGUGAAUGUCGCGGAGGAACGUCCAAGGCGUGGAUUUUAAGGAUUGAGAUUUUCUCUUGUGCCUCUCUUUAUCUCUUUCCAUUUUGUUUAGACGAGAUUCUUACACUCUUUGGUGAUUUUUUUUUUUGUUCUGUCUGAACUCUUGCUUCUUCUAUAGCACAUCAUUGCCUUCAGUAGUACCUUGACAUACAAAUUAGUUGAGACCUAAGACUAAAGGUUGGUGUUGUAUGGUUAGUGAGUCUUGGCUCGUAAUCACUCUUCGAAAACAUGAGAGAUAAUAAUAUCUCAACAUUUAUUUCGAUAAUAAAAUCCAUCAUUCAUCAAACAAGCAUAAUCAGGGUUUAUUAGUACUAAAACAUAGUUUAACCUGAUAGAUAAAGAAGUUCCCAGAAUCAAAAGCGACACAUUAAGCCUCCUUCUCGCCAGUGAGGAGGUCCAUCACUACGCCUUUGAUGCUUCCAUUGUUCUUCUUCAGCAGCUUCUUGUUCGUCACAUCAUCACAGAAGCCCUGGCAAAAAUCCACAUCAUCAACACCGCACCCUUUAUCUGAUUUUCAAAUAUUAAAAUACAAAAGUGCACACACUCACCAUUUCCUGAAGCUCCUCUAGGAUAGGAUCCCACUCGCUAACUCCACAAAGAGCAUCAACAGACUGCUCCAAGUCAUACUCGUUUUCCCUUAAGAUCUCCUUGUUCAAAUCAAUCUCUUUGAAACCCAUUUCCUCCAGCUCCUUGAGCAUGGUUAUCUCCACGUCGUUCUUCUCAAUAUCCUCUUGAAGAUCAACAGGGAUGUCCUUUGUGGAUGACGAACCACCACCACCCAAGGCCUCAACAGCAGGCAUGUUUGGGAACUCGAUCAUGUUGAAUGAUGACGAAGAUGAAGAUGGACUAAGAGUAGCAGGCUCAGCUUCACCAACCGGCAGGUCAUCCUUUUCUGGGACUUUUGAUCCAGCAGCUUCUCCUUCUAGCUCAGCACCUUUCUCUACCUCAGAGUUAACACUGGAGCUGCCAGCUUGAGUUGGCUUAUGACUAAUCCCUGUAAAUUCGCUUGAAGAGUUUUCAUCAGGGGAGGCAUUCAAGUUCAGUCCAUGAAACUUAUUCACAACGAAAUUUUCCAAGGAUGCAUCAACCUAACCACGCAAACAACAACAAAAGGUUAUCAAAGACGUUUUGAUAGAGAAACAAAUAUUCAAGGGAGAGAGCAGCAAGAUCUAGUAAGUACAUGUAUCAACACCCAAACACGUUGCCCGAACUUGGCACCACUAGAGGAAGCCAUCCUCCAAUAAGAAAUGUAUCGACCAGGUAACUCUGGUGCAACAAAAUCAACUUUCACGUCCAGCUCACUGUCGAUAGGCGCACCCUCCGCUGGAAUCUGCAAUAAUGUUGAGACCAAUAAACAACUAGUAAAAAAAAAAAACUAUUGCCACUUUGUGCACAGAAAAAGCUAACUCAAGCCAAACUGCGAAUAAUUCAAAACUACAUAAUUGAUCUGUAAAUGGAACAUACCUGUAAAUCAACUGACAAUGAGUUGCUGAGUCUGUCCCCACCGAUCCAGACUAUCUGAGUACCAUGCGGCCACACCAGCGAACCAUUGUUCCUCAUUUUCCAAAUCUUAGUGAACUGAGCAGAUGGAGCAAAAACUGUCCCAUCAAGUACAUUCACAUCAAGCACAAAGCGGCUGUCAAGCUUAGGCCGAGUGCACCUGAGGUGUAAACCUCCAUGUUGUGGUUGUGGCACAUGGCCCACCCACGGGUUCGAGAUCUAUAUAGAUAAAAGGGUAAGAUUUCCAUUUAGCUACACUAAGGAAAGAGACGGCACAGAUAAAAAGGAAGCUUAAAGAUAGAAGAAGAGCAGUACUGGGGUAAGUUGUCCUCUAAAAGGAUGUGAAUGUUGAACUGAGGCUGGCUUAUCCAUCCUUGUGUAAUCCCCUUCGUUACCCAUCACCGAAAAGCAGAUGGUGCAAAGAUCAUAGUCUUCUUUGCUGAAAAAUAUUCACCAUAGAGACAAAUAAGCAAAACCAAAUUUCUAAGAUGACUAUAGUUUCUAUGUUUGCUAUAAGAAAAGGUCUUCCUUACACUUUAGACUUGAACCUUGACCCGGUAAUUGGAAGAACUCCACAUCCAUCACAGCGGAUGCCCUUAUGGAAGACACCCAGUGAGGUCCAGUAAUCACCAUUGCUGCUCUUUUUGUUGUGGCAUACACGCCGGGCAUGCUUUUUGAAAUUCACUGGAUUUGGACUGGAGCGAUUCACGGUACUGCCACUGAAGGGACACUCGUUGAAACUAGCAUCAAGUCCAGAGGAGGUUGGUACAGGACCAGAAGUCUUUGAAACAGCAAAGCCAGUUGGUUCAUUAAGAUCAACAGGUUUUUUCCCGGUUUGGCUCUUCUCAGAGAUAUUCUUCUUUUCACCAAAGGAAGGAACCUCCCUGCUCGGGUAAGGACCCGAAAGAACGGGAAUAGCAACAGGUGAUAAAAGACUACCUUCCUGAGGACCAGAGAGUGUCCCUAGCUUGGAGAUGCAAUCAAACAGCUCACCAACAACAGGGCUAGAAGAUAUGGUUUCAUCGUUGAUACCCUUCUGGAUUUGGGAAACUGGGUUUAUGCUAUUAGGCAUGGCCGAAGCUGUUGAACUCCGAGUACCCUCUGGAGCAACAGAGUUAGUGUUGGACUGCACAUGAAUCUUCAAGAACUUAAGGCGCUGAUUCGUGACAUCAAAGAGGUCAUUGUUAUCAACCAGGGCCACCACAUCGCCAUCUUCAUCAGAGUAAGUCAGAGAGAAGUCAGCAUCCACAGGGAAGUUAAACAGACGAAUGAUCUUCCACCUAAGAACAGCCAUAUCAAGAUCAAGCUGUCCAUUAGCGUUGACAGACACCCUGAAGCGCCUAAGCACACCUCCAUAGCUAACCUGUAAUGAUUAAAAAACACAUCACUUAAAUGAAACUUAAGUUACCCUUGAAUAACAGAUGCGGUGGCAACGCCUUAGACACUUAAUAUCAGAAACAAAAAAUAAAUUAAUAUGUUUCUCUAACAAGUUUUCCUCAAGACCGACCAAUAACAGAUGUGGUGGCACAUUGGUCUGUGUCUUAAGGAAGAAACAAACUUAAAUAACAAGAAGCUUAGAAAUCACGAUCAAGCAACCUUUAAACUAGUUAGAAUCCCAAGUUCUGAUUCUGGAUACAAUCAAACCUAAUUUUGAAUCUUUCUUAGGAUUAUAUGCUUCUAGCAGAUACAGUUACGUAUCUUACACGGUUCGAUCUACGGCGAAAUCAAAUUCAAAAACGAAAGGACCGAUCACAAGCAACAAGAAAUCUCGUAAAACCUAGAACAAAAGCGACACGAUAGCUGCCACAUGGUCAACGGACAGCAACAGCUACAAAACUGUGAGGAUCAUUACAAAUAAGAAAAGAGGAUUGUAUAAUAACCUUGACGACGAGAGAAGUAGCAGAAUCCAUCGCGAAGAAACCCUAAUUCACGAUGAGUACCGAGAGAGAGGGGCUGAGAAUCGGAGAGGUUAAAAUCCUUUUUAAGGGAGAAGGAAGCGUACCCGUUAUCCGCUUAUGUCGUCAACUUCCCAAAUAUCUCUCGAUAGACUCUCCUCUCGCGUUUUUAUAUAUGAUCGGACGAUUGCUUUUAUUUAAUUAUGUUAUUUGACUUAUCCAACACUAAGAUAUUAUGAUUUGACUUUUUCUCAUUCAUUAUUUAUUGAAGAUAUUUAAAUAUUUAAUUUCACUUACUUAACUAACUAGAUAUUUUUUUAAAUGGUAAUUUAUGUUAUUAUGAUAAUUAUUAAAUAAACGAUUGUAUUAUCAACAACUUUUACACAGAACUAGCUUAUUUUUUGGAACAUCCAAGGGGGUUUCACCUUCACCCAACUGGAUAUUAUGAUUGUGAUAUCAUGAUAUGUUUUCUUGUUAGAUUUUUAUCUGUUGAAACUUACAAUUAACAACUGAUCAUAAACUUACCAUUAAUAAAAGAAGUGGAAGUAGUGAACUAUUUCAAGGCCAUCUGCGCAUUUUCUAUAGUUUUGUAUGAAAAGGAAUUAGUGAACUAUACAAACCUAAAAUUUCUUUCUAAAAUCAUGUACCUGUAAUGUGAAUCGGAUGCCCAAGUUGUUGCUUACUAGCUAGCUUUCUUGAUUAAUUCGUUUCACAUUUAUAUAUCAGAAGCAUGUAUACCCGGUUUGAUUGUAGUCAUACCUAGGCCUGGGCGUUCGGUGGUCCGUUCGGUAUCGGUCCGGGUAAUUCGGAUUUUUGGAUUUUCGGUGUUAUGCUCAGAAGUAUCAUUCGGGUUUUACUAAUUAUCGGAUCGGUUUCGAUUCGGUUCCUUCCUGGUUCGGUUCGGAUUGGAUGUAACCAAUGUUUAAAAUCGUCCAAAAAUAUAUUAUUUUUAAAGCUUAAAAAUUGACAAUUUUUUUCAAAAUAUAUAAAUUGUUUACAAAUCUAAUUAAAAAUUAGUUAAAGUAUCUAAAUUAACUAAAAAGUAUUCAAAAUAACAAUUAAAACAAACUAAAAAAUAUUUUGAAUAUCCUAAAAUAUCUAAAUCAUCUUAAAAUAUAUAAAAACAUUAACAUAUUUAACUAAUUUCGGAUAUCUUCGGAUCCUAGUUCGGAUGUCGGUUCGGUUCGGAUUAUAACCAAACACCAAAGUACUAAGCUCAUAAGUCCCGUUCGGAUAUUUUGAUAUAACAGUUCGGAUUCGGUUUUGGUUUUUCCGGUUCGGGUCUAGGUAGGUACUUCGGGUUGAGUUAAAAACGCCCAGGCCUAGUCAUACCCAUUGAUUAUAUAUUGCAUCAAAUUCAAAUGUGGUUUAUAUAGAUGAGGCGGAGAUGCACAGUCAUACGAGGGAGAAUUAAGGUUCCGUUCAUACACACUUGUUACAUGUUUUAACAAGCCUGAUGGGCUGUUAAGAGAAUCAGACUAAUCACUAGUGAACCGUAGUAAAGGCAUACUGAUCCAUGAUUUGGCGUACUAUACUGCCUACUGGGCGCUGCAGUAUAUGCCGAUAACUUCAAUAGCUGAUCAGGAUGUAAUGCUCUUCAUUGCCACACGCAGAGAUGCGUAUUGGGUACUUUCUUGUUACAUUUUGCUUAAUUUGUGAGAACAAAACAAAAAGGAAGUGUCUCUUAGUUGCGAUCCGUGGGAAAGGCGGGACAAACCUUAUCUUCCAACCUUUGAUUGUGCUAAUUAACAAACUAUAGGCAGAUUAAGGUUGAUCAAGCAUGAAUCAACAAGUUUCUUGUUCGUUUGCAUAAAUUAUGUUAAGCCAUCAAAGAAAGCUCAUCAUGGAAAUGCUUCUACCUAAUCUUGCAAAGAUGUAUAGUGCUUUUUUUAUCAAGAUGACAGUAAACAAGAAAAUUUAAAAAAUGUUUUAACUCUACCAUUGUUCCAGGUGCGUUUUAAGUUAGUUGUGGUACAAGGUAUUCUGGUUACUGAAUGACGCUCAUAAAACUUGGUUCGGCUUUAGUAUUUGUUUUUCAGUUUAACCAAAGGAAAAGAUAAACAUACAUGUUAUUAUUGUGGUUAUGGAUUCAUGGACUAUAAGAACAAAUGUUUGAUGAAUACUUCCUCCCUUUCGAAAUGUAUGAGUUUUAAAUAAGGUUUUGAUGUUUCAAUGUGUAAGAUGUUUUAAUUGUUCUAGAUAAUUUUUAACUUUGUAAAAAACUGUAUACAGGAUCCUAUUUUGUAAUAUACUUUGCAGUUGGUUAAAUAAGUUUUAAAUUCUGUUUAGUAAUACUUUUAAGGUAUUUUUUAAUAGUUAUGUAUUUACUUAAAGCAUCAUACAUUUUAGAACAUUGAAAGUUAAGAAAAUUCUACAUAAAAGAAGCCAUUAAUAGAUAGCGUUUAAAUAUACAUAAAAAUAUCUAACAUAUGAAAGUGUGCCAUCUUUCCAAAAUAGAGACAAACAUUUCUCAUAUUGUAUAGUGUAUAUAUAUUACCUCAUGGUCAAGUAGUAGGUAAAAUUUGAGAAUGUACUUUUUUGGGUUCAAGUUUCAUUUUAAACAAAAUCACAAUUAUUUCGGAAGUUUGAUUUAAAUUCCUGAUCUAUACAGUUUAUAUAGUAGUCUGAUAUAGGCAUAAGACUUAUUAUCCGAGAUUCUGAUUCGAUUCGAGAUCCGCUCCGGAUCCGUUCUGAAAAUAGGAUAUCCAGGGUACCCGGAUCCGAAUCUGAAUAGUAAAAUCUUGGAUCCGUCCUAACUGAAUCUGGAUCCGAAUAUCUUAACUUUUAGGUCCAGAUAUCCGGAUCUGUAUUUUUAAAAAUAUUAAUUUUUAAAUUUCAUUAAUAUUUAUAUUUUAUAUAAUAAUAUUUAUACAUAAAUUAGUUUAAUAAUAUUAUAUUUUAGUUUUUAUAAUAUUAUAGAGAUAUAUACUCCCUCCGUUCCCGAAAGAAAGAUUUUAUAGAGUAUUCACGCAUAUUAAAAAUAUAAUAAAUGUUUACAAUUAUUUUAUUUCACUAUACAUUUUCUAAUAACUAUUAACUAAUAGUAUUUAAUCAAUUCAUUAAAAGCAUAAUUUAUCAACAUUAAAUACUAAAAGUACUUUAAAAUUCUAGAAAAUCUAUUAUUUUGGAAUAAAAAUAACUCUGAAAAAUUUUACUUUUAGGAACAGAUGGAAUAUAUAUUUAUAAAUCUUGUAUAAAUAUUUAAUUUAUGUAUCAUUUUUUAAAAAAAAAUUAGUAUUUUUUAAAAAAAAAUUUAAUUAUUUUUACGGAUCCAGAUUUGGAUAUUCGCGGGUAAUAGAAUAUAGAGACGGAUAUCCGAAAUACGGAUAUCUAGAAACCACAAAUCCGGAUAUUAAAUCCACGGAUCCGGGUAUCUUAAAUUUCUCGGAUAUAUGGAUCUGUCCCAUAGCUACUCUGAUAACACGUGAGUCAAUUACUUUUUGAUGUUAGUCAAAAAGUAUCAUAAAUUCGGAUCAAACAGUAUAGUGCUAAUUCAUAAAAAAAAGUCCACUUAUAACAUCAAGUGCGUUUUUACCAAAAUUAACUAAAUUAGUUGAUUUAAAAAUUCACUCUAUAAUAUUAAAUGCGCUAAGUACGUUUCUUACCUGAAUUAAUUGAAUCAACGGGUAGAGCAUAUUAAAUAAUAUAUAUAUUAGUAGAUCACCAAAACUACCAAACCAUGCUCUGAUACCGUAUAUACGGAUGAGGAGAGGAGAGGAGAGGAGAGGAGAGUAGAAGGGAGGGGAGACAUAACCACACAACGAUUCACGUGAUGAUUCUGCAAAACUCAUCAUCAACUUUCUCUUGACUACGCGCACAUCUUUUUGUGGAGCUAUUCCAUUGUCAAACCGGCCUUCGUAAUUUGUCUUUUUCCACAAUCAGAUCCUUCCUUCUUUAUCAACUUGAUCGUCUUCUUGUCCUUUUCCUUCUUCAGGAAUCAUGAGUUACUGUAAUAUUGUGAGAAUUGUAAUUUUUAUUUUUAUACCAAAUACUCCGAAUCUGAGGUUGAGUUUCAAUUACACCUAUUCUUGAAUCUUGACCAUUUGAUAGUUGUUUCAAAUUAACCUAUUCAUCAUUACUCAUAUCACCAUCCUCAUUAUAACCAAUGUAUGUGUUUCACAAUUUCACUAUUAUAAACAAUCCAACAAGUUAUAUAUAUACUUGUUUUUCUAAUUUUUUUAAAAAAAUAUAUAGAGAGAGAAAAGAGGGUUGAGAGACUUAAUAUGUUGAUCAAAAAAAAAAAGAGGCUUAAUAUAGUUUUCAUAUUAAUACAUUUUAGCUUAAAUUAUGUUCUAAAGAAAAUGAUGCUUUAGAUCUUAGAUGAAUUCGCUGCAACAUGACUUCUUCAAGUCCCUCAUCUCAAACAUGGCGUGGAACAAUCUUUCUCAAUUGUUUUUAAAUCUUCAUAUAUUAUCGAAUAGGAAAAAAGUUUGUCAGCUACGCGAAGUUUACUAUAAUAUGGUAUAAACCAUCCAAUGUAUGAAAACGUAUCAACAACUACACUAUGUUUAUUUUAAUACAUGCCACAUAUACAAAGUAAAUGAUUAUAUGGUGGCAACAUCACAAACGGAUUUAAUUGAUUUUAAGCUAAGUUAAUAGGGUCAAUUCGUAAUAUAUUAAAGUUAACUCUGAUUUACUAAAUCCGACCCGACCCAACUACUUUACCCGAUCCGUGUCACCUUAAGUCUCUUGUUUGGAUCCCCAAUUCAAAAUUAGGGUUCAUAACAAAAAAAAAAUAUUGAUUUCAAAGAGAUGCAAUGCAGAGGAGAUUUUCUUUAAUACUUUUAUCUUCCCCACUUGUUUUUGUUACUGUUCUUUCUUAUAAACGGUCCCAACCCCAACUGAUUAGUGUCUGUAUUGGAACAAAGCCAAAUGUAUGUUAUGUACAUUAAGAGUUAGAAAGUCUAGCGAGAAAGAGAGAAGGAGCCUUCACAUAACGCUUUUCCUUUGGUCAGCAAAAAAAAAAAAAAAGAGAUCUGUGAGCCAAGUGAAAUGUCAAAUUCUCAUUGUCAAGAACUUGGUCCAACUUCUGAGAAAAUAAUGUUUUCUCCUUGAUUUGCUUAACCCCAACUUUGAGUUUGCACACCCACUUGUUCUUACGCUUCUUCACAUACAAAAGUUGCAGAAUAUGAAAAAAAAGUAUCUUUUGUAGAAGAUUGACUCAUGUAUUCUGUUCCACGAGGUUUAAGAAUGGCAGAGAAGAUAAAAAAUAUUAAAGAAAACUAUCUCAAUAUUGCAUCUCUUUGAAAUCAAUUUUUUGGUUAUGAACCCUAAUUUACGAAUUGGAGAUCCAAACAUGAUACUUAAGUCGACACGGGUCGUGUAAAAGAAUUGGGUCGGGUCGAAUUUAGUAAAUCAAAUGUAAUUUUAAUAUAUUACGGAUUGGCCCCAUUAACUUAGCUUAAAAUCAAUUAAACUCGAUUGUGAUGUUGCCACCAUAUAAUCAUUUACUUUGUAUAUGUGACAUGUAUUAACAUAAACGUGGUGUAGUUGUUGAUACGAUUUUAUACAUUGAAUGGUUUCCACCAUAUUAUAGUAAACUUCGCGUAGCUGAGAAACUUUUUUCCUAUCGAAUAAUAUCGUGUAUUUUUUUCAGUUCGAUUGCUGGCAAUCCUAUAGUUACUUGUUUAAAAUGCAUUGGAAUUGAUGGGUGUAAUUAAACAACUCGAUUUUUAACACGGCCGAACAUGUCCAAAACAAGACUAGAUCGGUUGGUCCACAGAUGUUGGCUCACUGUAAUAUUCCUACAUAUAACACUGCAACGUAUUAGCAAAUUAAGGAAAAUUCCAAAAAACUAAUCACAUUUCAAGACACAAGAAUUAUUAGAACGGUUAGAUAUGAUGCUGUAUCUAUUCUAUUAAAACAGCAGUGUGACCCAUUGAUAAAAGUUAUGUCCAACUAAAAAUAUAACCGUAUCUAUAAUAUAAUUAUAUCUGGAAUAUUGUUUAGCCGUUUUUUUUUAACGACGAAUAUUGUUUAACCGUGUAACUUCGUAACUUCCUUUAUUUUCAUAGAAAACAUAUGAUAUGGGUGGGACCCAUGUUCUCUCACUUACUUCCUUUUACUGUUUCUUUUAGCAAUCCUUUUAUAUUAUAAGUUUCAUAGGUAACGUAUAUGUUUUAUACUAUAUCAAGAAAGGAAUAUUAUCUUCCAAUUAUUCACUUGGAGUAAGCACAAAAAAAAUGAACCAAAGAAAUUACAAAAUUAACGAAUAAAUCUCAAAAUUAUAAUAAACUAAAGCUUUAUUUGCUAUUGCUGGAAUCGUUAGAAAAAUUUUCUUCGUAUAUCUUUUAAAAAUUAAUUAUUUUUUUUAAAAAAAAUUAAUAGGUUUUAAUGGGUCUAAAUAGAUUUUUAAAAUUAUCAUGGGUCGAAAUUAAUAUACAUAUCUAUACUAUUAAAAUAGAAGUUGUUAUGAGGUUUAUUUGAUUUUUGCAUGUAUUUAUAUCAUUGUAACUCCUAUAUUAAUAGUAACCAUAUUGUUAUUUAUCAUCUAACUAGAUUAUGAUCCGUCCUUUCAAAUGACGAGUAUAUCUUUUGUUUAAAAUUUUCUGAAAAAUUUAAUUUUUAUAUUUAGGGUUUUAUAAUCAUACUAGAUUCUGAACCGUCUUUAAAAAGACGCGUAUAUUUUUUGUUUUGUAUUUUUUAGAAUUUAAUUUUGUAUAUUUGUGUUUUAGAUCAUAUUUGUGUUUUUUUCUUAUAAUAUUUCUCCUAAAUUAUUAAUAAUAAGUUUUUAUAAUUGUAUUAAAAUAGUUAGACUAUCCUCUAUCAAUAGGUCAUAUUCAUGUUUCAAUAGAAUAAAUUAAAUAUAAAUUUAUUCUAUUAAAACAAUAACAUGAUCUAUUGAUAUAGGUUUAGUCCAACUAAUUUAAUAAUAUUGAUUAAAAUCUCUUACUAAUUAUUUAAGAAAAAUAUUUUACACUAUAAUUACCAAAAAACACAAAUAUAAAAAUUAAAUUUCUAAAAAAAAAAUGUAAAACAAAAUAUAUACCCGUCCUUUCAAGGACGGGUCAGAAUCUAGUAUACACUUAAACUAGAUCUAUGGAAAAUCUCAUUGAACAAAUUUGAAAUUGUUUUUCAGUUAAUUUGAGAAAAAAGACGGAUUAUAGAUUUUCAAUUGUACAUCAUUGCGUUGAUGCGCGACUUGAGAAAAACGAAACUGAUAAUGAACACAAGUAAAACAAAAUUAAAAUUAAUUAAAGGCACUUUUGCUUUCAACAAAGUUCAUUUUUUGAAAAAAAAAAAAGUUCAUUUUUGGAGUAAAGUCCCCAGUGUUUUCACCAAAAAGAAAAAAAAAAGUCCCCAGUGUCCCACGUACUACAUUUAACAAAACCCUAAGCGUCCUUCAAAUUACUAAUCGAUCUCAAAUUUACCACUUAAUUAUAUCUUACAUCAAUGGUACGAGCUUUAAUUUUUUUUUUAAUUGUAUAAGCUAUACUUUUAAUAAACCCUGGAAACACAGUGAUAAUUUUUUUGACGAAACUGAAUAUGAGAAAUAUGCUAAAAGAAUUUAAAUUAUUGUUGACCACAAAUUCUCACACCAUCUCUCUUAUCUUCACAGUUUCAACUUUUCUUUCAGAUUAAAUUGAAUAUAUAAAUAUGUGAUUGUUCUUUUCAUUAUUUGUACUCAUAACCUACUUGAAUUAUUGGUCUCUUGAAUAGUUUUUAAGUUACAGUUCAACUGUACGGAUGUAAUUCUUGUGAUGUUCAAGAACUAUUAAAUAAUAAGAGAAAUGAAUUUUGAGGAGCAAGAAGAAGAAAUGGAGAUGUCGGGUGUUCAUCCCUCUGGCGGUUACGACUCUCUGAGCGGUGAGGGAGCCACGUCCAGCGGCGGUGGCGGAGGAGGAAGGAGAACUAGCGUUGGAGAGAAGACAAGGUAUAGAGAGUGCUUGAAGAAUCAUGCCGUUAACAUCGCUGGCCACGCCGUUGACGGCUGCUGCGAGUUCAUGCCUUCAGGUGAAGAUGGUUCGCUCGACGCUCUCAAGUGUGCAGCUUGUUGCUGCCACCGCAACUUCCACCGUAAGGAAACCGAAAUGAUCAGCGGCAGGGCCCACAUAGUUCCGACGUACUUCAACCGCCCGCCUCAGCUGCCGCCGCCAGGAUACAGGCAACCGGCUGCCUCGGCGGACGAGGAGGAUACAUCUAACCCGAGCAGCAGCGGCGGAACCAAGGCUAAGAGGUUUAGAACGAAGUUCACGGCGGAGCAGAAGGAGAAGAUGUUUGCAUUCGCGGAGAGGUUAGGGUGGCGGAUGCAGAAGCACGAUGACGUGGCGGUUGAGCAGUUCUGUGGAGAGACGGGUAUUAGGAGACAAGUGAUUAAAAUCUGGAUGCAUAACAACAAGAACUCUCUUGGUAAGAAACCCUAAUUAUUCUCCGACAUAUGGUUUAAGUACAAGAGGGAUCAUCAUUGCUUCUUUUCUUUUUGGUAAUGACUCUUUUGUAACUAGCUACUUGUACUUCUGGACAUGCUUUCUUCUUCUAGUUAAUAAUUUAAUCUAGUACUUUGGAAGGGUUUAAGACGAUUGUGAUUAACUACUCCAACUUUGGUUUGAAUGGUUAAGUUGAUAAAUCUACCUCCUAUAUUAUAUGAUGCGACUGAAUAUUUGGACAAAUGAUCUAUAACUGAAGUAAGCUGUUUCUAGUAUAAAGUUGCUGUUUGUAGACCAAGAAUCUCACUCUUAGCUGUUUUAGGUCGUUAGCCGUUUGAGUCUUUGUGAACACAAACCAGUAUUGCUAAUCAAUAUAAAGAAAAGCAAUAAUAAUAUAUACUUUUCGUUUUGAUUCCUACUAUAAGUUUCCAACUCAUUUGAUAUCACUUUAUUAAUUAGUACUACACUACUAUAUGAAUGUCGGCGUAAAUACAUAAAAAUUCCAUUUCUAUUUUAGCAAGCGUUUCUAGUCCACUCUAUAUCACUGUAUUAGCAUUACCAUACUCACAUGUCAAUCAGAUGAUCAGGAGAGGUUCGAGCUAGCCUUGGCUAGCUACAUCUUAACUUAUGUAAUAUUUACAUUUUCAUUGCGAUUAAGAGAAUUUCAAUUUUUUUGAUGUUGUUCACAGAGAUUAUCGAUCGCAAAAUCUGGAAUGUUUUAUUCAUACCAAAGAAAAUUUACCUAAUUAUGUGAAUAUACGUAAGCUUUCCAACCCACUCAAGUGACCCUAAAUAUGAAACUAACUAAACGAGAAUUUUGUAUAAGGUUUCACCAUAAAUAUAAAUAAUAAUUAAAACUUUCUUGUAUACGGUUUUCACAUAUUCAUGUUAUUGAUACAUACCUUUAUUAAAAUUUCUUAAUACAUUUCAUUUUGAUAAAGUAACUUGUUUUUUCUUAGUCUCAAAAAGGAACACGCACGAAACUAAACCAAUGAUUUCGGAUGGAGAUUAUUAGAAUCCACCUUGAUGAAGACAAUGACGAUAGAGCCAUGAAUUCACAUUUGUCACCUUCUUAUAGAUAUCUUACCAAAACUCACCGCUUAUCAGUUAUCACAUUAACUCGUCUUUCUCUCUUUUUCCUUUUAUGUCACUUUUGCAUUCAGCUUCAACAUCGAAAACCUCUCACUCUUUUGUCUCUUUCACAUCACGACACAACCCAUUUAAUGGACCAUCAUUUAAUCGCUGUAACCGUUUGAUGUAAACAUAUCAAAACUAUACAGUUUUUUUUGAGAAAAAAAUUAUACAAUUUUGGUUAUUUUUUUCUCUAUAAUAUUUUCAAGAUUUAGUUAAUUUUGCAAGGAUUAAAAACUAAUAAUAUGUUACAUGCUUGCAUUUUUAUUUUUAUCGAAUACGAAACCAUAUACACAACCUUUAAAUGAUCCAAAAUAACAAAAAACACUUAAAUAAAAUGUAAAAUCAUCUGUAAAUAAUAGAAAAAAAUACAUUAGUAUUGUUAAAAUAUUUGUUAGAAAUAUUACGCUAGGAUUGUUGCAUAUCAUACUCAAAAGGCUGAAAUAUCUUUCCAUAUCUUAAUUACACUACUCUCGUUUGUUGUUAUUGUUCUAUGAUCAGAUCGAUAUUAAAAUUUGUAAAAAAAUCAUACUGCAAAUCAACUUUUUAUUCAAAAAAACUUGACCACACCAGUUCUGCAUAUAUUUCAGAAACUGAAAAAACUAAUUUACCGUAACACAAAUAUAUGUGUACACAAAAUAUAUUCAGUUAUGUAUUUUCAUUUGUAUUUCUGAACACAAAAAAAAAGAACCCGACCGGUUUAAAUUCAGACGCGACAGUGGAUGUUCUCGUCAUCGUAGUCCACGGCCAGGGGCCGGCCCCGAAAAUUUGGGUACUUAAAUUUAAAAAAAAAAAAAAAUUAAGAGCUUAUUUACAUAUAAUUUUUUUCAAAAAAUUUGGGGACCUAAGGCCAAUGUUUCAUUAGGCUUUGCUCAGGACCGGCCCAGUCCACGGCAUCGGCAACUCCAGCUGCAAGAUCUAGGAGUUUAUCCAUCAGCACGGGCAUUUCCUUGAGCGUGGUUGAAGCAUUGUCACUGUUUGUCCCAACCAAUCCUGCCACGCGUCUCAUUUUGUCGUUAGAAGCCCUAACGUCGUAGUGAGCUGUAUCCGGGGAUAGCUUGAGCUUCACGUUUGCGCUCUUGAGAUCAGCCACCACGGCUAAGUAAGCCUUGUGGCACUCAGUGAACGAAGCCUUCAGCGUUGGAUCUUUCUUUGCCGUCUCAUCCACAAAAACCGCUGUCUUCUCGGCGUGGGAUACGGCGAGGGCCAUCACGGCCACGGCCAGUGGAUUCUUUUCAGAGAUAAUAAAGACAUUUUGUUAGGAAAAAUAAUAAUGAUCAGUCUCAUUUGCAAUUAAUACCAUGCAGAACGUUUGAACAAGUAAUUUUAAAUCCGGACCAAACCAGCUGUUUAAACUGCGAACCAGAAAUAUAAAUAACAAAAUCAAAAGCAUCGAACCGUUAAUAAUCCAAUAUCAAUCCGCCAAAAACCCGAAAACCAUCGAACCAAAUAAACUGAAUAUCACCGGACUUGUUUAUAAAAAGAACACUAGUACAAAUAAAACUUUGAUAUUUUAUUUGGUUUGUAUUUAAAUUUAUUUCAAAAUCAUUUAUUAAAACCUUUAAUUACUAAAUUCAACUAUAUUAAAAAAAUGACAAAACAUAUAGAUUUGGUUCUAGUUAUUGUUCUAUGAUUGAUGCAAUCGAACCAAAUUGAAUUCGGUCGAACUGUAUUAACCAUUGAUCCAAAAACUUUUUUAGGUUUUGUUACCAUAUCGGUUUUAGAAACAUUGGUUUUAACCGAAAAGAAUGAUCAUUCUCAUUCAAAAUCAUUCACAUGCAAAGCAAACAGUAGUAAAGAUGUCUUUGGUUGAUUUUAAGAAACAAAACAUACGCAACAAAGAAUAUGGUUAGUCAAUGGGAGCAGCCGUAGGGGGAUUGGUAGUCAAUGUCUGGAGGCAGAAAGCUUGGUCAUGUGAGCGAUCGCAGAUCGCGUCAAUGUAUUUCAAAUGAGGCGACGCUGAUGCUGAGCUUAAGAGUAGCCAUUUAUUUGCGUCUGAAUGUUUCUUUUCUCGGGUCCGUUAUUCAAUUUUAUGUUGUUUGUCUUUUAGUUUAGGGGGUAUAUAUAUUGUACACUUAGUUGGCUAGAUUAGGAACGUUGGAUAACUUUAGAAAAUACUAUAUUUGUAAUCAGAUACAUUAAAUACUAAAAUUAUAUUUAUACUUGCUAAUUUUGGAGGACCUAUGUGAAUGCGGUUUGUUGUUUGUGUUUAGUCGACGACAAAGUCCAUUAUCGUCUUCCCUUGUUUAGGAAACUAGGAUACGACGUGACAAGUGUUGACUGUUGAGGAUGAUAGAACAUAACACAUUUCACUGAAUCUUUAUUUGACGUAUAGGCAUGGCGUUUUGGAUACCCAUUCAUAUCCGGAUCCAUUUUUUGGGUUCAGUCUUUUGAAUCCAGUUCAGAUUCAUAUGUUCAAGUAGUUUCGGUUAAUGAUGCUUUGGAUUCAGGAAAAUUUUAUAACGUUGUCUAAGAUGCUUUUAGACCUGAAUUCAUUUCAGACAAAUUUUGAAUAUUUUUAUGGUCAGUUCAAAAUAAACAUAAAGCUAAUAUUUGAUAAACUUAAUUGUUUUUUAUAUCUAUUUUAGAUAAUAAUUCAGAUUUUAAUCAAAAUCAUUCAAGUUUUUGGAUAUCCAUUCGAAUUCAAUUAACAUUGAAUACAUUAAAUACUAUUCUAAAGAAUUUGUUUGGAUAUUUUUACAUAUUGGAUUAGAUACAGAUUCAGGUUUUCAGUCUGGAAUCAAUUCCAAUCUCGAGUUCACUUACAAAUGUCCAGACUUAUAUAUAUCUUUGGCUGAGCUAAACACAAGAAGCUAGAUAUUAUCAACGCAAAUACAGAAUGGAAUUCCACAUAAUAUCAACAACAGAAUAUCACACAAUACACAAUUAAGGAAACGAAAAGAAGAUCAGAAAAGGGGACUAUACUCAAAGAUUACAUGAACUGACUGGCAAAUCCCCCAAAACCAAAUCAGAUCCUUCCGACUUCUGUCCUAAAAAGAGACCUCCUCCAAAUGUUUGGUACCAAUUAAAAAAAAAACAAAAGUAAUAAACACAUCCUCCCCCUUCUCCUCCCUCUUCUGUUACUUAGCUCCGACUCUCCCUGACAUUAGAACUACUCACAUCUGCUUCUAUAUCCCAGCUCCCACUUCUUCUACUCCCCCAGCUUCCAUGCCUCGUCUCCGUCCUUAUCGUUCCCGCUCUCUCAGCAACCCCAAGCAUCGAUUGGUCAAUAUCCAAACCAUGACGAGGUUGCUCUGCUGGAUUACACCGCUGUGAUAUAUUCAUAAGAUCGUCCCCAAUGUCUAGAUCAUCCUCCACUUUCUGUCUCCGGGUUCCGGCUUCAUCCUCUGACUCUCUGGUGGUUGUUGUAACAACUCUUGGAGGCUCUUCUUCCACGAAGGCUCUAAAGUUGUUCCUCGAGGGCUUAACCUUGGUGCAAAACACCUCCAUGAAAUUGUUAGCACAGCCGCGGUUAUAAGCAACGGUUCUGCUGUUUGCUCUGUACCGGAAGUUCUCAUAGGUUGUCUGGUUUGUGCUUAUGAGGUACAAGUGAAACCCCGUGAGCCCUCCAACAAACCAGAAGCCAAUAAAGCAAUAUAUCAUCAGCGCAACCGACCAAGGAGAUUCUUUCAUCGCCAUCCACACGGUUCCGCGUUGAUGUUCCAUCAGAAUCUUGAUGUAUAACGCCGAGAUGGAGAACACGUAGAUGCAGAGAAGUGUCGCCGAGGAGACAAACAUAAAGAAGUACCUAUAGUUUCUCUGCCAAUGAACUUUUCCAAGUCAGUAAUCUAUUUAACAUUUUUUGAAAUGAGUUUUUUUUUACCAGUCCAAUGCAUUGGCCCACCCAGGGGCAAUGAUGAUCAAAGCGCUCGACGCAGUUGUUGCAGAUGGAGCAGUGGGAGCAGCGUGGAGGCCUGUAAAGCAUGCACGUGUCGCAGUAUUUCACUCUAACGGAGACGCCGUUAACGAUGACUUCUUUCGUCCGAGGAAUCUGAACGCUUGGUGUUUGUCUUCCGUCUGCUGAUAGUGUUGUCUCGUAGCGUAGAUCUUCCUCUGGUGGAUGUAAGUUUCGUGGGACAAUGCCAGGGUCUCGUGCAGAUGUGAAGGAGAGGAGGAUCAAUACCUAAUCCAAAAAACCAACAACGUGAUUCAGCAAUGAACGCCAAGAUGUAUGAAUAUUAAAUGGGCACAGCAGAAGACUAACAUAAAUAGUGAAGAGAAUUGCAACGACCAAGAUAGCGUAACCAGCAUUGUAGGGAGAGAACUCGUGGCGAAGAUGCCUUGCUACAAACACGCAGAAUAAAAUAACAGGGACUAUGAUGAGGAGGACGGUGACAGGGACUGAUCUAGCAUCCGGGCCGAAGAUUAAUCUCCCACCAAGGAUGAACUUCUGAAAAAAAGAGCAAGGACAGAGCAUAUCAAGAUCAUAUAGAGAUAAGAUUGCUCUAAUUUAAACCACCAAACUAAUGUACGCAGCUUAUGAAUCCCCAUAACCACUGAUUAUUCAACGUAGUUCGAGUCAAAAUGGUUGUGAACGCAUCAUCAAGGCAUUAAAGUUUCAUGCUUUUCACACAGGAAGCACAAGUUUUACAAUUUCUCCAUACAUGAGUUUACAGCAUACCAAAGCUGAACCAAUCAAGAAACAAGGCAAAAUAAACUAAAAAGUAAGCAACUUUCAAACCAGAGAAGAGAAGUGAGAGAAGUAUCCAUCACCCAGACCAAACCCAAGAAACAAAAACAGUAAAGUAAGAUAAGGAAAGGGCUUACAUUGCUUCCUUUCCAGGCUUGGAAGACUCGUUGUGUCUGUGUCAUGGAGCGAGAGAAGAAGAAGCGACAGAAAGCAGAAAACUUUGAAGGUACCCAGAAGACGAAACUCGAGGACAGCGCGGUGUAUAUAUAUAUCUUCCCCGUUAGUUCUAUUUCAUAGAAAAGGGGCUUUCGUUCUUCCGAUGAGAAACCUAAUAGUACAAAGGAAUUGAUUAUACAAUAUAUAAUAAGGGCGGGUCGCGACUCGAGCGACUUAUGGGCUGACCUCCCUCAAGGACGACGACGACGACGGGGGGGUGGUGUUUUGUAUUCUGCGUCGUCUUGCGUGCGACGCGACGAACCAACGAUCGAUUGCUUCUUCCUUCUCUCUACUUCGUUUUCUAUUCCCUGUUUUUUUUUAUAAUAUUUCUUGGUUUAUAUGACGUCAUCAUGUUUACCCUCCUAAACCACAAUUAUUUAGUUGUACUUGUAGUUAGUACCCCCUCGCUUUUUCUUGUGACUAGUUGGUGUUUUUGAAAUUUUAUGAUUUGAAAUUAGGUUCCGAUUUAUGCUAACAUCUUAUAUCAAAAUAAAAAUUAAACUGAUCACUUGACAACAUUUUUCUAACCUUAAACCUACUCCAAAACACACAAAGAGGGGUGAGUUUGACAACCAUUAAUAGCUCUGACCUCUCAGUUUCUUCUACCUUCUCAGGUAACACUUUGAUCUCGGCUUCAAAUUAAUCCAACCCGUCUUAAAAUAAAAUUGCAUACUACUUCCACCAUUCUGUUAUGUGGAGUUUAAUCCUUAACUAUUAUUACGUGACAGACCCCCCAGUUCAUGAUUGGGAUCUUAAUGAAGCCAGUUCAGAAUCAUACCAUGCCUGCUUCUCUUUCAAAUCUUGUCUAGAGAGGCAACUUCUGCAGUUGUAAAGAUCUGUAGAGCCACUGACACUAGACGAGAUAGCUGAUCGUUGCCAAGCUCCCGAGGAAGUAACUUCCAAAUAAAUUAAAAAAAAGCUUUCCAUUGGUAGCUUAUUGAAUGGAAGGAGCAAUAAGUUUUUAUCUUUUGGAUUUGCAGAAAGAGAUGAUAUACAAGAUCAUAGUACUUAAUUUGCAAAGCGACAGAGUUCUGAUAGCUGAAGCCUGCUGUGGAUCGCCAAAUGAGUGUUAAAGGAUGACAUGUACGCAUGGUAAACACAACACUAGCUCAAAACGCAAAACAAUCUGCAUUCUCUGUUUCCCUCAUUUAUUUGUGAUUUUGACAAGGAAAAAGAAAAAAACAAAUGUGCACUUGUUUUUGAAAUACAGAUUAUUUCAGAAUGUGAACUAAUCUUUAACAUUGCAUGUUUGUGGAUAACAUAAUAGAGAAGAAGGAUACACCAACGGCAUUCUGUACAGAUAUAAAAUUAAAUGAUAUAGAAACAUUGUUGUAACUUAUGAGCACCACCACCCUGUGAGUUAGAUGUGUUAUUCAAUUCAGAUAAGCUUUGAUAUAGCCUUGCAAGACACCCAGAAGGCUUUAGAUGCAAUACUCAGGAUCAUCGGGUUUUGAUAUAUCCUGUAGUUGCCAUUAAAAGGAUAUUGGUGAGAACUUAGAAGCAUUCAAAGUAAGGAUGUGAUGUUAAAAAGAAAAGAGUGUGUGUUUGGUGAAUCAAUGUACCCUAUAGCAGUGGCGCUCCAUGAAGCAACAUUGUAAAUAACUUUACUACCUUCCCAUGCUUUACGAAGUUUCCCCUUUCUCUUCUUCACAGAAAACAUGGUGCUAAGUGCUACAUUCCCAGUUCAUAAUAAGCACAUACUCUUAGUAUCUGAUUUUUUUUUUUGAUAAGGAGAAGAGACAUAAUAAAAGUCAAACUCACUAGCAUACCUUUCUGAAGCUGAUCAGGUGAAAUAUCCUACAAAGAAAAAAAGAUAUCACACUCAGAUUAACUACACAUGAUAAGUUCACAUAAAGGACACAGAGAUGAACGUACGUACCUUAGUCUGCUCAAGGGAAGAUAAAUAAGUAACCAUGAAACAAGCAAUACCAUCUGCUACAUCUUCUUCCCUAACGACCACAUAAUCAUCUUCCAUACUUUUGUCACCCCAUAAUAUAUCAUCUUCACUAACUACAUCCCAAGAGCUACCAUCUUCUGCCAAAAUUCAACAACCUAGAGUUAAAGCUAAACGCAACACGGACAUAUAACUUAUUCAAACUGUAAUGAACUUGUUUACCAGCAGGAAGGUCUUGGAGGAG